RNAcentral lists this long non-coding RNA (86928 nucleotides) under Eutrema salsugineum. Its description in RNAcentral is "long non-coding RNA (ESAL_LNC001632)". Lineage: Eukaryota; Viridiplantae; Streptophyta; Magnoliopsida; Brassicales; Brassicaceae. The record is from RNAcentral.
GAAGAGGCAGCUGAAUUCGGUGGUUAUGCGCCGGGAAUACUCUCGCCGUCUCCGGCUAUGUUGCCGACAGCUUCUGCCGGGAUAUUCUCGCCGAUGAUUCAUCAAGGUGGGAUGUUUUCGCCGGCGAUACCGCCGGGAUUGUUUUCGCCGGCGGGAUUAAUGAGCCCGUUUGUAAUGUACAGUCCUGGUUAUGCUAGUUUGGCUGCUUCUCCAACUUUUGCUGAAGUCUUUAAUCAUAUUUGGGAUCUUUAGAAGAAGAAAAGGUUUAGACUUUUCAUUUUGCUCUGUAAUUUUAUUCAUUUUUAGACAUAUAUCCCAAAAAAUAGCCCAAAGGGUUCAAAAUGAGCUUUCAUGUAAACCAUAACAUCUCAAUUUAACUUCAAAAAUUUCAUACAGAUAGAUUCCUCCUAGAAACUAAAAAGUUUCUGCAAACUAUAUACAGGAGUUAUAAGAUUCUCCUGACCUAAGCUACUAUAUAAGGAACAAGACCGAGAAGUAGUUAUAAGUUUCUUCAAGUGGCUGCAACAAUAGAGUUCCAAGUUCCUCCAAUCAAUGUACCAACUCUCUCUCCUUUGAUGGCUUUCGCAAUGUUUCCAGGCUCAGAUAGGUUGAAAACCACAACUGCAAAGCCGCAGACCAAAACAUAUACUUAUUGUUGAAUUUGGAUGAUGAUUUUUGGUUAUGAUUUGAGAGUGUUGUGUUUUUUCGAAAACAAACCUGGGAUGUUGUUUUCUUGGCAUAAAGUGAUAGCAGUCAUAUCCAUCACGGAUAGAUCCUUUGAGGUUACUUCUUGGUAAGUUAGUGAAUCCAGGAGGCGAGCGUUUGGGUUUCGUUUAGGAUCAUCGUCAAAGACUCCAUCAACAUUUGUUGCUUUCAGCACCACUUCCGCAUUUACUGUGUCAAAGGCGAAGGAUAUAAGGGAAAAUGAACCAAUGGAGAAAUUUUUGAACAGAAAGAAACAACCUUUUACUUACUUUCAGCACAGCGAAGAGCUGCUGCAGUAUCGGUGGUGAAAAACGGAUUGCCUGUUCCGGCUGCAAAUAUCACAACCCUGCCUUUUUCUAGAUGUCUAAUUGCUCUUCUUCUUAUGUAAGGCUCUGCGACUUCCGACAUGCGGAAAGCGGUUUGAACACGUGUUGGGAUGCCGAUACUCUCCAUUGUCGCUUGAAGAAAUAUUGCAUUCAUCACAGUUGCCAGCAUCCUGUCAAAAUGUAGAUGAAACCAAUGAGAGACCAAAAGCCAAGUUUUGUUCGAAAAAUGAGGAACAAGAUAACUCGGUAGGGAAAGUUCAGAUUUGUGUGGCAGCAGAGGUCAAGUAUGGAUCUGAUACCCGAUAUAAUCAGCAGAGGAACGAUCAAGGCCACUGCACCCAGCCCAGGUGGAUCCACGAAAGAUGUUUCCUCCUCCAACAACAAUCGCAACCUGAUGUAAAAGCAUAAGAAGAUCAAGACAGAGGAUACAGGACUCUGCGAUGCCUAGUACCCAUCAUCCUUUGCGUAUGCUUAAAGCGUAAAUCUCCGCCUCAUGACUUAAGCUCCCGUUUCUUGCAAGUUCAUACUAUUUAGUUUUCAGCAUAGUUUGUAGCUUCUACACAGGCAGUUAUCAAUACUUUGGAGAGUAAAAAUUGCAUUUUAUCAUACUUGUGUCAAUCAACAAGUCUAGGAAGGAGCUCAAAGCUAUAUACCCAACCACUAAGAACCGCUAAAUCCAUGUUACAGUUACCCAAUCACAACUAGAACAAAAACGUUUCGAGAAUAACCUCAAUGCCAAGGCGAGUCACUGCUGCAACCUCCCUUGCAAUCGACAUAGUCACCUAAUUAGAUUAGUGGGAAGAUGGAUGAGAUUUAUGGAGAAGGAAAAAACAGAAACAAGGAGACUUUUUUUUUUUGUUUGCAUCACAAAAACCUUAGGGUCAAUAUUCUGCUCCUCGUCUCCAGCAAGAGCUUCUCCACUGACUUUGAGUAAAACCCUUCUCCAUUUAAGCGGUGGUUUGGAUGUUCCAUCGAAGGAAGGCAUUCCAGGAAACGAUGACUGCGCAUUUAAGCCACUGAAAAAUCACAGAUAACGGCAGCACAGUUUAACAAAAGCAAACAGAGCUCCACAGUUUUAGUUUUUAUGAUGCGUUUCAGGUUUACUUCAACAGGGAAUAAAAAAGAUCAGUUUGUGCAGUAUAUUUUAAUCAAAUCCUAAGCCCUAUAGCCAAAAGUGUCUUCAUUGACGAAAUUUCACAAACACUUGGUGGACGAACGUAUGGUUAGAAAUUGAAGAUUAAUACCUCCCGUUCAUAGACUCUGGAGUUGAACCAUUGUUCGAGGACAAAGACGACGAGCAGCUGAUAGGUAGACGCCGACUGAAACUCUGAUCGGAGAAGAAAUUACCCUGGCGAGAUGUGAGAGGUACGAAAGAGGUUCGGGAAAUAGAAGAAGAAGAAGAAGAAGUUGAGAUUGGUGAGUAAGAGGUGAGGGGCAACGGAAUCGCCAUUGCCGGAGAGAACGAUCGAGAUCUAAGAAGAGACGAGGCUGAUGAUAUUUACUGAUAUGUUCAGUAGAGAAACUUUCGCCGGCAAAAGAAGGGUUUGAGUCUGCGAAGAUAAGGUUUUAUUUCGAAUGUCAUUAAACUAAUUAAUAGACUUCCUACAGUGUUGUGAUGCUGUUAUUCUUUUUUUCUUUAUGAUAAAAAGAAAAUAGAAGAAAAAUAACCUACGAAAUCCCGCAUUUUUAAUGUUUAUCUUAGACAGAAAAUUGAAUGCAUAUAAGAAUAGGAGAUUAUAUUUAUCUUUUUUUUUUUUGGUCAAACAAGAAGAUUAUAUUAUAUUUAUCACUUUACAAAGUUUUGAUACAUGUCAAAAUGUAUUUAGAUUGGAAGGAGUAUGUUACAUCAAAUUACAAUAUGAAACCCUCCAAAUCUUAUGUAGAUAUGGGUAUUCUUUCCAUUUAAAAAUUGUAACUUUUUGUUUUGUAUAACUUAUAUCAUUAAAAUGAAGGCAGAGUCUUACUCUUACAGGACCCAAAUCUUAUGAAACACUCAAUUUUAACCAAGCAAUACUUCUACCAUCCAUCACUUGCCGAACCUAUCAGACAGUAGAUGGCUGAGAAAGCGCGUAUGUGACUAACCCUACUUAGUUACUUGUCGCUGUCAAGGACUAGUAGAGUGCAAUUUCAAAAUCAUUUAGUAAGAUGGUUUUUUUUUUCUGUUAUAAAGAAAAUUGCACGCUUCUCCACUCGAACCCGCGGGACUCGUCAUGCACUCAUGCUAUAUGUUGACACCAAACCACGAUGCCAAGCUCUUUUAUUAGAAUACGGACUAAGAUGUUAUGUACCAAUUUUCUCUCAGAAGCUCUUUGAUCAUUUUUUACACUGGUUCGGUUCAUUAGUCUCCGUUCAUAGCAAAUAACAUAUGAAGUGCUAUUAUUUCGAUUGUUUUAGUUUUACUUUCAGUUCCAACGUUUUGUUUCUUUUAGGUUUCAGUGUGUUGCACAGAGUUUUGCAUAAAACGCAUCUCUUUUUAUUCGUCCACAAUUCCACUGAAAUAAAGCAAAUGAGACUAGAAUUAAUAAUUUUCUAACGGAGGUAAGGAUUAAUCGUAUUGUUCAAUGAAUUUAUCGUCGCUUAGAAGUUCUUCCUAAGAUUACUACUAAUAUUUUCAAAGGAAAGGAUCUUGUUUGUUUAUGAGGAAAAUCUAACGAUUUUUUUAUCCUGUUAGUCUAUUACUAUAUCAAUUCAGAAGACCUAGUUUGUGGAAGAAAAAACAAUUAUAUGUUAAGGAUUUCUACAUGGAUGCAAAAAAAAAAAAAAAAAAAAAAAUCGAUUUUGAGAGGUAAAAUAGAUUUUUUUUUUCGGGAGAAGUAAAGAAAAACAAAAGUUUACUGCAUCUUAUCUAUUUAUUUAAUGCAAAGAAAAACAAAAGUUCUUUGCUUCGCAAUGAGGUAAAAUAGUAACACUAAAGCUCCGUCUCCUAUUCACAGGAACAGUUAAAAGUAAAAACCAAACAAAAAAUGGGAAUAAAGAAGAAAAUCUUCUUGGCUAGGCCAGGUUUUUAUUUAAGUAAUAAAUUUGCUUUGUCAAAAAAAAGAAGAAAAUACUUCAAAUACUUCCUAUACGAACGGUCAAGAUUUCUUGGUAUUGUAAUGUUAAAUCCUUCUCUCGUUUUUUUUUGUUGUCCUUUAAACCUUUCUUCAAAAGCAAGUUACCCUCUUUUGACACUUUACUCAUGUCUCUGUCCGAAUAACGGAAAGCUCUGUUUGCUUUUACAGAAAUUAUAUAUAUACGACCAAGUUUACACAGACACAAACCUGCCGUCUCGUUUCUUUCGGGAGAAGUAACCGAUAAAAUGGAUACUGAAAAGGGUUAUCCCAGAGGUUUCAGAGCAGACAGUCUACGACCAGAAACCGGCCGCAGAAGUUUUCAGUCAGAGAGUAUGCAACUCGAUGAAGCACACGAGCUACCACAAGGAGAUCAGAUACGACAAGAGAACUCGACCUAUCUCGUCCUCUUCAAGUCCAUAGACAGUGGAAACUUGGAAGCCACGAAAGAUUUCUUGGACCGAAACCCUGAGGCUUUAACCGCUAGCUUAACCUCCAACGGAGACAGACCAAUCCAUAAAGCCGUUUUGUCAGGUCACAUAAAUAUCGUGGAAGAGAUCAUUAGACGAAUCCACGAUCCAGAGCAAGUGUUGGAGAUCAAGAACGAUAAUGGUUACACGGCGCUUGCUUAUGCUGCCACUGGUGGGAUUGUGAGAAUCGCAGAGUGUUUGGUGAAUAAAUGUCCCAGCUCGGUUAGUGUUCGGAACGCAAAAGAGCAUAUACCGAUCGUGGUGGCUUCGUUGUAUGGUCACAAAGAUCUGGUUCGGUAUCUUUACAAUCACACACCUCUCAGUGAUCUUGAUCCUUGUGAUGAGUCAGAUGAACACAAGGGCAAGAACGGUGCGAUGCUAGUGACCAAUUGUAUUGUCGAUGGACUAUAUGGUAAGUUCCUAAUGAUGAUUAUAUGAUUAUAUAAUGUUCACAGGAUGUGGCUAAUGUGACGUAGAUAUAAAGGUAUUGCUUUGGAUCUGAUCCAGAGGUAUCCUAAGCUGGCUUAUACUCGAGACAGCGAUAACGAUACAGCGAUCAUAGCGCUCGCGCAAACGCCUUGUGCGUUCCCUAGCGGUAUCCAUCUUGCGUUUUGGCAACGCUGGGUAUAUUCUUGUGAGUUUACACUUAGCUUAUGCUUAUUAAGUGAAGACUACAUAUAUAUAAAAAAAUUUCUUUUUAUUAGGAAGUUUGGUUUUAUCAAUUAUUGAUUGUUAAAUUCAUGGUUUUCUCUUGAAGGUAUUCACAUAGAGAAGAUUACCAACCCAUAUGAAGUAAUGAAUCAUCAUCACCAUCAGUACAUGAAAUCAGAAGAUCAUAAUACAAUUUACGAGAAGUUGUUGAAAUACCUCAGUUUUUUUUGUAAGCAGCACAAAUCAUCUCGAAUCAUUAUCCCUAGUUGUUGAUUUAAUUUUAAUCAGUAUCAGAUGAAAUAUUUUAUCGACAGUUCCACACAUAAGACAAGUAUACAAACUAAAGCUAGGACAUGCUCAAGCCAAAGAGAUACUAGACUGUAUCUGCCAAGAGAUACCUAACUUUGACGCCACUCAACAGAAGAACGCGGGUCUAAACCAAGCUCUCUUCAAGGCGGUAGAGAAUGGUAUCGUCGAGUAUAUCGAGGAAGUGAUGAAGCAUUAUCCUGAUAUUGUAUGGUUCAAAGAUAGUUAUGGUCUUAACCUCUUUUUCUACGCGGUAAGUCAGAGACAGGAGAAGAUCUUUAGUCUCAUUUACAAAAUGGGUGCUAAGAAGAACAUCCUCGCUACAGCUUGGGACAAACUUCAUAACAAUAUGCUUCAUCACGCCGCAUAUCGGGCCCCAGCUUCACGGCUUAACCUCAUUCCCGGUGCUGCUCUUCAGAUGCAAAGGGAGUUACAAUGGUUUAAGGUGAUAUAUAGUUAUAUAUAUGAAUGUUUCUUGUUAAACAAGAAACUGCUUUGAUGCAACAGGAAACUAGGGUUGUAGAUAUAACUCUGUCUUGUUUUCAGGAAGUGGAGAGGCUAGUGCAACCGAAGCAUCGAAAAAUGAUUAACUUGAAGCAGAAGAAAACUCCAGCUGCUCUGUUUAAAGACCAACACAAGGAUCUGGUGGAUCAAGGAGAGAAAUGGAUGAAAGAAACAGCGACUUCUUGCACAGUAGUAGCGGCUCUAAUCACCACAAUGAUGUUCUCCUCUGCGUUUACCAUCCCCGCAAGUUACGACCACCAUUAUAAACUAUUCAUGAUCUUCAUCAUCUCGGACGCUAUCUCUCUCUUCACAUCAUGUAUGUCUCUGCUCAUGUUCCUCGGCAUUCUCAAGUCUCGUUACCGCGAAGAGGAUUUUCUUCGAUCGCUUCCGACCAAACUGAUCUUGGGUCUUGCGUCUUUGUUUCUCUCGAUGGCGACGAUGAUGGUGAGUUUUGUCGUGACGCUCAUGACCCUGUUUAGUGUUAAAACAAAAACAACGACGUGGGUUUCGGCUCAGUUUAUGUUGCUCGCGGUGAUUCCGGUGGGUAUGUUCGGUGUUCUUCAGUUUCCGGUGCUACUUGAGAUCUUCUGCUCCACUUAUUUCCCUAGAGUUUUUGAUAAGCCUCGCCAGUCUCGGCGAUUUUUUUAAGCUUUUCUCGAGAGAAUAAUAUUUAUCAUCGAAUAUUAAUAACUCUAGCCAAUCGUAUGGAGCACAGCCGCAGCUACUUUCAUCAUCGAGAUAUGAUCAGAAGGUUGCUUGACCCAGUUCUCUAUUCAUUUGAUACAAUUUCGAGUUUUUCUCUCCGAUCGACUAAUGAAGUUAGUGGGAUGAAAUAAAAAUGGGUGCUCUUGUUCUACUUGUUCGUUUGUACAAGUAGAAGUAUCAAAUGCUCUUGAAGAAUUACAAGACUUGCUUACAUAGGCAAUGCACCAAAAGUUUAAAACGAGUCUCAAUUCAAGAAAGUGGAAUAUAUUUAAGUGUUGGCUGGCCUAAGGAAAAUACCUACACACGGUCCUCUCUGUUCUAUCUUCGAUAUAUCCACAAAAAGAUUAAUCUAUUAACUUGUUUGUUCUUUCUUUUCUUUCCUAUGAUUUCUUUAGAAAUGCUUUAAUUAUAAUAAUACUAUUAGACCAGACCGUCUUGAUCGAGUUAACUGCUCAUGAUACAAACAUCACAAAUAGUGAUUAAAUGCAUUAUAAUUUUGAUUAGGCCAUGUUGAUCGAGUUAAUUGGUCAUACACACAGUGAUUUGAUCAAAAAUUAUAAUCUAGUGAGUUGUGCUAAUGUCAUCGUCUGGAAGUUCGACAACUGAUUUUUAGUAUUUUGAUCCCUUUCCUUUUUCUUUUAAGAAUUUUUUGAUCUUGGUUUUCAGAAAGCCCGUUGAUAGAAUUUUUAUUUGUAUAGUCUCUGAGAUAUUAAUAUUUUGAAGAGUCUUAUUUAUAGGUUACUCAUACAUGUGGGCUUUGUUCAAAGCCUAAUCCCGUUUGUUUCUGGAACAUCUCAUACCAUUCUCCACAAAUCCACUAUUUGUUUUUUCCUUUUUGCAUAAGCUGAGACUUUUUAAGUUUUAAGAGUGUAAAUAGUUACAAUUUUUAAUGUAAAAAAAACAAAAAAACAGAGUAUAUUUUAUCCUUGUUAUCUGUAUUUCUUAGUUUUAAAUUUAUCAGAGCUUGUUAUAUAAGAAGAAGACAUUUCCUGUAUGAUGUUAAAUGUUUUCCAUAGAAUGAUUUUUUUUUUUCUUCACAACUAGUAGAAAUCAAAACUAAAAAAUGCCACAGGUUGACAAAAAAAAAAAAAAAAAAAUGCCACAGAUUUGAGUAAAACUGGUCUUUACCUUGAAACAGACAUUUCUCCUUAGUGUAUGAAACAGACCACUACUAGUUUGGAUACAAAACAAGAAAUUGUCGUCCAAUAAGCCUAAAGAGAAAGUAAUAGCCAAUGAUCUUUACAUAAUGUUCAAGUUCUCAACAUGGUGUAGAUUGAUGCGAAGUCUAGUAAGAUAGCUUAUCGCCUCUGCUCCUUGGAUUUGAACUCUCCUGACAGUAUUAUGCACGAUGUUGUAGCAUAAGACGUAGAAAGGUUCGGUUUUGCUAUGAUAGGACAACAUGAUUUCAUCUGUUUCAGUCACUCCAACAAAGCAUAACAAGGCCCCUGCAACCAUAUUCUUCAACAAAGUGGGCACUAUGUAUACAUGCUUGGACCAUUGAUGUUGCUCAGCGUCUUGUAGAACCCACAACUCAAGAUUUAUCCUUUCGCCAGUAAAAUAUCCAUACCCAUCCGACGAAAGAGCACUCAAUUUACCCUUGUAAUCUACAAGAUGUGGAUGCUGAAAUUGUGAUACUUCCAUGUCCUCAGCUUUGUUGAUGAAACUAAACCUCUCAGACCUAACAUCAAAGCAAACAAUCCCAGGAACGCUUGGAGAAGCUUGAUCUUUCAUGUCAUGAUGAGCCUCAUUGACCAAAGCGUGAUAAUAGACACAACCAUUGAUGCAUAUCCCACCACUCCUUAUAGGAUAAUGGGGUAUGGAACAAUCGAUCAUCUUCCACGAAAGCUUCUUAGUCCCUAGUGUCAAGAUUUGGUGCUCGACACAGCUCUCUUUCUUAACAGAUGUCAUGGACAAAACCUUGAACUGAUUACCAAUCGGAUCAUACCCGAAGAAGGUUUUCACACCAAUCCUCCUCGUCUUCACUUUGGGCAAAGAUAAGGAUUGUCCCGUGGUCGCGUUACAUAUCACCGUCAUUGUAUUCUUCGUACUCGCGCUUACGACCUUCAGAUACGUGAGACAGACCAAACCGCCGCAAACCCCAGAGCAGUCAACGGGUAACACCAUGCGAUGAUUAGCGGCCGCAAGAAUCGAGUUCUCGUCUUGAUUUUGGAUCUCAGGUGCCGAGUAGAAGACAAAGUCUUGGUUUUUAUGGAAGGUGAACAAGAUUCGAGGGCGAGACGAUGAUCUGGUCAAGAACAAAUCCGUGAAACUUCGGCUGCGAAGCGUGAAAGCCCAGGACUUUGAUAAGCAGAGCCAUCUCGUGACAGACUUUGCCGGCGAUCUUGAGAGUAUCUCAAUGACGAGAUCGUUUGGGAUCCGGUCUAGGUUUUUGAUUCGUUUCGUUGAGGUACAAGAUUCUGUAUUGCUGCGUCGGGGAAUUGUUUCCAUUUUGAGAAUGAGAAGAAGAAAAGAGAUGAAGUGACAGAAGAGAGUGAGAAUAAGGAAAGAAGAGGUAGAAUAGGAGAGAUAGUUAAUGUGCUGUUCCAAAAAAAAAAGAGAGAGAUAGUUAAUGUAUUUUCAUUGCAUAAAAUCACAACUAUCUCAAGCACAAACAAUGAAAGCCUAAACCAAUACCACCACUUUCAAUCGAUUUCUUAUUCAAAUAGAUGUGGAUCGAAGCAAAUUAACCCCCAAUGCCAAAGUAACAAAAAAAAAUUAUCAAAAACAAAAUCCCCCAAUUCUUACAAAAAAACCCCAAUUCUUAGGGUUUAGAAAGCUUAUCUGCAGCGACGUCACCAAAGGUUGUCAGUUUUCCAACUAAUGUUGGAGAACCGCGACCAGUCGGAAAAUCCGUCAGAGAAGAAAGGAAGAAUUUUUCAUCGAUUUCGUCGAGAAGAUCCGAAAAGUCGAGGAAUAGAAAUGAUGGGGGAAUAGAUAAAGAGAGAAAAAAAAUGUUAUCUUCAAAUUUUUUAGCGAAUAAAAAGCUGACACGUAAGGGAAAAUACGUCUCAAAAAAUCUUCAAAUAAGAAACAUAUCUGAAAAUAAAAAAAUCGAUUACAAUUUUUUUAAUAUUAAAUUUCUAUAAAAAAUGCUGUUAGAUACAUGGUUAAUGAUGCUCUAAGCUAACCUUAAUGUUUGGGGCAGGGCAGCAUUAAAUACACUAUAGCUCGCAUUUAAACAACAUAAUUUCAAUAUUAAGACAAAACAUCCUAAGAGCAUCUAUGGGGAUGCUAAAUUUUUUAAAAAAAAUUAAGGAUCUCUUCUUGUUUUUCAUGUCCAUCCCUUAUACUCCGUUUUUUGCCCCAAGACGAGAUGUCCAUUUUUUGACCCAAUUUUUUCAUACCUCCCCCAAACCAAUAAAAGCCAUACAUGUGUUUACAAACCCAUUAACAACUGAUCCGUAUCUUAGAGCUAUAACAUAAAAUCUUUAAGGUUUUUAAUGGUUUUUUAAGCUAAGAUACCAUUAGAGUCUCUAGAAUUGAGAUGGUCUAAAGCUUGUUUAAAUAUAAACCCUCUCACUCACAAAGAGGUAUCAAACUCCCAAUGCUUAUCUCUUAGCCACUAUCUUCCUGCAAUACACCAAAGGAAAUGCCAGCUUAUAAAAAAUCCUAGAUUCUCUCGCCGGCGAACUACACUGGUGAUUUACUCGCCGUGACUUCUAAUCUAAUUAGUUUAGCCCAGAACUGAAAACUUUCUAAUACAGUAGUACUAAUUUAGUAUUUUUGUAACGAACCUUAAGAAAAAAAUAAAUAGCGACAACGCAAUAUAGUAUAGACAAAAUUUCAUUCUUAAGAGAAAAAUUCAAAUUAAUCAUUUGAAAAUAAAAAUAUUUGUUUGGCUAAAUAAAAAAAGAUGAUGAUAAAAUAAGUUUUAAGUCUGAAUAAAUCUUUAUUAUGUUUGCAUGAAAGUAACUAAAAGAUAAAUGAAGUACUGCAACUAUUUUAAAACGAAACCAAAGUGUCUAUUGACAAAAUUUGAGUUUAUAAUUGGAGGUACACAGAGGUCCUCAAAACAUGUAUUUCUCUACUCUUGUUGCAUUUUUUUUUAAUUUUCCUUUAUCCUCCUUCUCAUUGCUACUCAAAUGUAAUAUGUUGUAUAACGAUUGUUUAUAUAAUUUUAGAAGAAGGAAAAAAAUGAAGUAUCCUAUUCUUUUGGGUCAAACUUUUAUUUCAUUUACAUUUUUAUUCAUCUUUAAUCGAAGUGAACAGAUUCUUAGUAAGGAAAAUUCAGACUAAUACUAAAUACUUAAUACUAAAAAAAAAGAGUAUUAAUCAAAACUUAUACAGUCCCUAAAAAUUAAUCUACGUUUACAUUUGCUAUAAACUAGUAUUAAGUAUUGACCCCCUUAAACAAAUUAAAAACAUAAGCACAAAACACAAAACAUUUUAUAGUAUGAGAAUAUGAGAUGCUAUUGAAGAAUCACGACUUGCUUAUAAGGCAAUGCUCCAAAAGUAAAAAUCGAGUCUCAAUCCAAGAAUAUGGAAUAUAGUUGAGUGUUGGCUGGCCGAAGGAAAAUACCUACACGGUCCUCUCUGUUCUAUCUUCUAUAUGUGCCACAAAAAGAUUAAUCUAUUAACUUCUUUGUUUUUUUUUUUUCUUUCCUAUGAUUUCUUUAGAUAUGCUUUAAUAAUAAUAAUACUAUUAGCUAGACCAUACCGUCUUGAUCGAGUUAACUGCUCAUACGAACAUCACAAAUAGUAAUUAUAUGCAUUAUUAGGCCAUGUUUUGACUGAGUUAAAGUUUGACUAAUUUAAAUGCAGCGGUUGCGGUUACGAAUGCAGGAAUUUAAAGAAACGGGCGAUUGCAGUUUCGUGCGUCAUUUAACAGUUUGCACGACUGGUUUAACUGUUGAAAGCAGAUUCAUUUGUGAGAUAUUUUUGACUGACUAUUGAGGAGAUGUAUUAGCAGUUAAAUAUAAAAUUACAAAAAUAAAUAUAAUAUAUAAUUAUAAAAAACACAAAAAACUAUAUUAUUAUGCUAAUUAUCAAAAUCACUAUUUUAAAAUAACUAAUAAUAAAAAAUUAUAAAUAAAUACUAAAUAAUUUAAAAACUGAUAAAUUUUAUAAUAACAUAAAUUUUAUAAUAACAUGCCUAUUGCCUCACCAACUAGCUAAUCAGUCCAGUAAUGUAACAAACUAGAAAAAAUUAUUCCAAUAUAUGGCAGGAUUUAUCCCCAAUAGAUCUAAUUUCUCCAAAAUAUUAUGGUAUUUACAUUUGUGUUUCUACUUCCUUCGACUGGUAUAGAAGUCGUAAUUAUGGUACGAAAACUAAAACUUGAUAAAAAGUGAUAGAAUUAGGAAUUAUAUAUAUAUAUAUAUAUAUAGAUAAUACAGUAAAAUUGUAGUUUCAUAAAUUUUUUUAACAUGAUUUUUUUUCUAUGGCUGUUUUUUUAUCCACCUGUUAAUGUUCCCAAUCGCAAACGCUUGUGUGAAGCAGUUUUGGAUUUCAGUACUACAAAACAAUAUGGAGCAGUUUGAAGCAAUUUCUAUAAUUUUUAUAAAACACCACUAACCGUUCACCGCAAACGUAACGAACGAACCAAUCAACACGGUCAUACAAACAGUGAUUUGAUCAAAAAUUAUAAUCUAGUGAUUUGUGCUAAUGUCAUUGUCUGUAAGUUCGACAACUGAUUUUUAGAAUUUUGAUCCCUUUCCAUUUUCUUUUAAGAAUUUUUUGAUCUUGGUUUUAAGAAACAACUAUAAUGUAUUCUGGUUCUAGUUUUCAAUACUUAUUAUUGGAAUUUCACAAUGUUCAAACUAAUUCUUAGUUCCAGAAAAAAAAAAAACUAUUUGGUGAAAAUGUAGGCCAUUGGAAAGGAAAUAUGUACGACAUACGAAAUACCUUUGCUUUGCUUCCAAUACAAUGUCACAUGUGCGUAAAGAUUAAUACAGUAUAUGAACACAUAUGAAGAAACACAAUUUUAGUGAUUGAGAAAAUUAUGAUGGAUAUUCGAAUAAAAAUUGUGUUACUAUAUAAUAUCUUGAAUCAUACGUAGCGAUGGGUGCAAGGCUCCUAUCAGAAGCAUUCUUUGAGCUUUCAAGUCCCCACCUUCUCUUGUAUAUGUGUUCAGCUUUUCCAUCAGUCCUCUGAUCGACACAUGUCCCUCCCUGUCUUUGUCUUUCCAAGUGUUGAUGAUGAGGCUUAGAUGUUUAUUAAUUCAUGUAUUCAAUCUCGUACCAUUUUAUUUUUAUCUAUCAUUUUGUUAUUACUUCAUUUAAAUCAUAUACUUUUCCCUCACAUUUACGAUUAUCUUUAACUUUUAUUCUGAUUUUGAAUUAGGGCCGUUCAUACAUGUAAAACUAAGCGAAUAUAUAUUAUGAUUUUGAGUAAAAAGCUGGUGAACAAUAUGUAAUAAAAACAAACUUAGGCUAUUUAAUCUCUUUGACUCUGGAUCAAAUGCGUCAAAUGUAUCCACGGUGAAAUCUAGAGACGUGGCAGUCGACCCACAAAUAGAUAAUUUUUAUAUUCAUACUAAUAUGUUCCUUUUUGACCAAGUUCCUCUUUCACUUGUAAUUUUUCUUUUGCCAAUGACGACCAAGUUCCCGACAGCAUUAGAUUUUCCUUUCCAUCUAAGAUAUUCAAACAUUAUUCAUAAUCUGACAGAAUAUGAUUAAUAUGAACAUACUUUGAUUAAUCAAGAGGUAGUUGUUCCUAUACUAAUCUCAGUUAGUUAAACGAUAAAAUCAAGAUUAAUAUAUAAUGGGAUAACUCUUUUUUUUGACAAAGAGGAUAACUCAAUAAAUAAAUACAAAUUCACAACACUAAGAAGUUUGGUGGAAGCAGUUCUUGACAGGACCUCUGAACCUUGCAAGCCAUGAAUCAGUGUAUUAUUGUGUUAGCUGUCUUUCUGCGUUACCUUAUCUUCACCUUACUUUGCCACCAAGGUUUAACUACACGUUAUAUAUCUUUUUUAGAAUUAUCGAUUAAUUUCUGAUUGUUAAAUAGUAGCGGUCGCUUUGUUAUUAAAAUACGUCACUAAUAUAUCUGGUUAUGUUCCAAAAUACCCAAAACCAGAAAGUUUUUAAAUUUGAAUAACUGGUUAAUUCUAUUGCUAAAAAGUAUGGGUGUAAAUAAAGAAAAGAGUCCUUGGUGUAUUAUAGUUUAUUUUAAAAUGGUUAAAUCUUGAUUUUUUAAAACCAUUUAUAUUUUUGAAAAUAAAUUAUGGUUGUCUCACAAAGAAAUUAUUAAAUAUUGCUGGAAGAUAUCAGUCCUAAGAAAGCUACAAAACUCAGAAUGGAGUUUAAAACUAAAGCGUGCAAAAUUAUCCAUAAUGGAAAAUCAUGUUUUUAAAUACUUUAUUAAUUAGCCUGAUACAAUAUAAUCUUCAUGUAACAACAUACAUAGUACUCCAAUAUGGUUAAAAUUAAAACUGUAUUAAUAUACAUUUUCUUGAAACAACUUUGAUCAGUGCAUCUUGGACUUUUUUGAAAAUCAUGUUAUAUACAAACUUUUAAACAUCUUAGUGAAAUCAUGACAAAAUUAAAGAAUAAAUUAAAAAAAAAAAUAUAGCAGAAAAGGUGGGUGUGCAAAAUACAUAUCUAUUAUUUCCAAAAACACAAAAAUAGAAACAAAGGUAGUAUGAUAUAAGAAGAUUAAAAGAGACGUUAUGUCUCAUCUAUAUUGCUCUCUCUUCUCUCUUGUCCAAUUCUAGUGUCUAAAUCCACCAGUUUUAUAUGGCUAACUCUCCCGCCGCUGCUGCAGCCACCGCUGCAACCGGAGACUCUCGGCGCCGCCUCUCCGCUUCCAUGUAAGUACAUACUACUCUCUCAUUUAUCCAUAAAUGAGUCAAAAUUAGAUAAUCGUCUAAAGUUUUUGUGUGUUUCUGUUUUUUUAACUUUUAAGCAGUGAAGCAAUAUGCAAGAGGAGAUUCCGGAGAAACAGUAAAGGCGGUGGCAGAUCGGAUAUGGUGAAACCUUUUAAUUUCAUAAAUUUUCCGACACAAGACAAAAACAAUAGUUGUUGUUGUUGCAGCAAGUUUCAGAUCGUGAAGAUUCUCUUAUUUAUCUUUCUAUCUGCUACUCUCUUCACCAUCAUCUAUUCUCCUGAAGCUUAUCGUCAUUCUCUUUCCCACUCUUCUUCUCGGUAAAUCUUUUUUCUUUCUUUCUUUUUAGCAAACCCUUUAUUAAAAAAAAAAAAAAAAUCAUCGCCAAAAUUAACAAUCUUGACCUCAAAUUGUUCAAAUGCUAAUGAAUUGCGUUAGCUUACAAUAAUUUUCUUGAAAAAUAAAUUUCCACUUUUCAUCAUUUCUUCCGUUAGUUAUCCAAGUUAUAGCGAAUAGAAUUUUAUUCUAACAAAAUACUAAAAGUGUUGAUAUAUGUAAUACGACCACAUGUGGAAACUAGGUGGAUAUGGAGACGACAAGAUUCAAGAUAUGUCUCUGACCUAGACAUUAAUUGGGACGAUGUGACCAAAACCCUCGAGAGCGUCGAAGAAGGCCGUACGAUCGGUGUCUUGAAUUUCGACUCGAAAGAGAUUCGACGGUGGAGAGAGGUAGCCAAGACUAAGGACAAUGAGGAUGAGGAAAACGUCGUCGUAUUGGAUCUGGACUACGCAGAGAAGAACGUGACUUGGGACGCACUCUAUCCAGAGUGGAUCGAUGAGGAGCAAGAAACAGAGGUCCCUGUUUGUCCAAAUCUCCCGAAGAUCAAAGUACCUACAAGAAGACUCGAUCUGAUCGUCGUGAAGCUUCCUUGUCGUAAAGAAGGGAAUUGGUCGAGAGACGUCGGGAGAUUGCAUCUGCAGAUGGCGGCUGCAACGGUAGCCGCUUCGGCCAAAGGGUUUUUCAGAGGACACGUUUUGUUUGUCUCUAGAUGCUUCCCGAUUCCGAAUAUGUUUCGGUGUAAGGAUCUUGUGUCUCGGAGAGGUGACGUUUGGUUAUAUAAACCUAAUCUUGAUACUUUGAGAGAUAAGCUUCAGCUUCCUUUAGGUUCUUGUGAGCUCUCUCUUCCUCUCGGCAUCAAAGGUAAGAAAAAAAAAACCCGGAAUUACUUUAGGUUCUUGUGAGCUCUCUCUUAAAAGUUUAUGUUUUCUUCCAUGGAUUUAAUAGAGAGACCAAGCUUAGGAAACCCUAGAAGAGAAGCUUACGCAACAAUUCUUCAUUCCGCUCAUGUUUAUGUCUGUGGAGCAAUUGCGGCAGCUCAGAGCAUAAGACAGUCCGGUUCGACGAGAGACCUCGUGAUCCUCGUAGACGACAACAUAAGCGGUUAUCACCGUAGUGGACUAGAAGCAGCGGGUUGGCAAAUCCGGACGAUACAGAGGAUACGAAACCCUAAAGCAGAGAAAGAUGCUUACAACGAGUGGAAUUACAGCAAAUUCCGACUAUGGCAACUCACUGAUUACGACAAAAUAAUAUUCAUCGACGCAGACCUCUUGAUUUUAAGAAACAUCGACUUCUUGUUCUCAAUGCCUGAGAUCUCAGCGACAGGGAACAAUGGAACUCUGUUUAACUCAGGAGUUAUGGUGAUCGAGCCUUGCAACUGCACGUUUCAGCUUCUCAUGGAGCAUAUAAACGAGAUUGAGUCGUAUAACGGUGGAGAUCAAGGUUACUUAAACGAGGUCUUCACAUGGUGGCAUCGGAUUCCGAAACAUAUGAAUUUCUUGAAGCAUUUUUGGGUUGGAGAUGAAGAUGACGUGAGACGCAAGAAAACAGAGCUGUUUGGAGCAGAGCCUCCGAUUCUUUAUGUUCUUCAUUACCUGGGGAUGAAGCCUUGGCUAUGUUACCGUGACUAUGACUGUAACUUCAACUCCGACAUAUUCGUUGAGUUUGCGACAGAUAUUGCUCACCGACGAUGGUGGAUGGUUCACGACGCCAUGCCACAGGUAAUAUGAUACAUCACACGACCACAUCUUUGUCUUAAACCCUAAUUUCACUCAUAAACACAUACAACUUUCCUAGACUUUAAGCGACCUUUAGCAUUUAGAUAGAUAAAUUUCCCCAAAAAAAUUAAGAGAAAAAAAAAACAAUAAUACACGGAAUUUUGGCAUUUUGCAUACUUUAAUGAUGAUGCAUAUAUACGAGUAGUAGAUGAUGGAAUAUUAAAACAACAGAAACAUUUGAGCUGAAAUAUUCUCAGCUGAAAAUCAAAAAUUAAAAAAAUCUAACUCGUGUAAGAUUAGUGACCCUUUUUUUUGUUUUGUUAUUAAUCUUAGUUGUUACAUUUUUGACAUAACAAAUAAAAAAAUUGAAAACUCGAUGUGUGAUGAUAAUUCUGCAGGAGCUUCAUCAAUUCUGUUACUUGCGAUCAAAGCAAAAGGCACAGCUUGAAUAUGAUCGCCGGCAAGCCGAGGCGGCCAAUUAUGAGGACGGUCACUGGAAGAUAAGAGUAAAGGACCCGAGACUCAAGAUUUGCAUCGAUAAAUUGUGUAAUUGGAAAAGCAUGUUGCGUCAUUGGGGCGAAUCAAAUUGGACCGACUACGAGUCUUUUGUACCGACCCCUCCGGCCAUCACCGCCGUCCGGAGAUCCUCGAUUCCUGGCAAUAACUUGUGACGCCAUACAUAUACAUACAUAUCAAUAAAUUUGUUGAGUUUUUUUUUUCUGCGAUAUUAGGUAAAUGUCAGAUGUAUAACUAAAAUUUUCCCAUACUUUUUUUUAUUCAAUUGGAAUAAAAUGUUUUUUUUUUGCCGUUUAACAAUAUGAUGAACGUACGUACAUGUCGUAUUUUUUAUUUUUUUUUGGAAACGAUAGGUACAUGUAUUUACACCUUUCUAUGUUAUUAUUUGAUUAUUUAUAUAUAUAAAAAGAAAUCAAUUAUAAAGUUAAUUUUAAAUUCGAAGCAAAAAGAUAUUAACAAUGUUAGCAAUGUAAAUUACAUUCAAUUCACCAAAAAAAAAAAUGUAAAUUACAUUCUGCAGUUUUGAAGUAUAUAUGCAUACAUACUAUGUGUAAAGAUUUCCUUAUUAUUUAGCCAAAACAGAUACACCGUCGUUUAGCAUCGAAAUUUAAGUAAAAAUGGUAAAUCAUACAAAGAAAAGGAAACCGAAUCUUACAGCUAUGAUGAGCAUUAAUGACUGAGAUAGUAAGUGAGGGUACCAAAAUUAGAAAUACUCGAAUCAAGCUUUUCUAUAUAUUCGGAAAUAAAUAAACAUUGAGCACACAACUCUUCAUUCAAUUCACAAUAAUCACAGAAACAAACACAUAACGAUGGCUUCUUCUUCUUCGUCUUCUUUUUCUCAUUCGUCUUCGUCACCGACGAACAAGAAAACAACUAAAUUCUCCAAAAUUCAACAAACCCUCUUCCAGAAACCUUCUUCUUCGAAAGCUACGAGCUUAGCUAAAAGACAAGAGACUGUCUUCAAGAAAGCUUACGAGCUUUCAACUCUCUGUGGAACCGACGUCUGCGUCAUCAGUUACGGAUUAGACGGAGAGCUUAAAACAUGGCCUGAAGACAGAAAGAAGGUCGAAGCCAUGGCUCGAAGUUACAAAUCUUUAGAUAUUAAGAAGCGACUCAAAGGACAAGUUGAUCUUCGCCAGUUUCUCAAGAAGAUCAACAAGGGUGAUUCCAAUACGAAAAAGAAGAAGAAAGUGGCGUCUGGAUCCAGUGACAAGUAUCCAGAUUGGGAUCCGAGGUUUAAUAAUUACUCUGUAGAGCAACUCACGCUGCUGAUUCAGUCCUUGGAACGUAGUCUAACCACAAUGCAACAUAGGCUUCGAGCUCUUGCUGAGUCUCAGAAACAGAGGCAGAAUAUGCACAACACGAACAUGGCUCAUCAAGAACAGAUGAUUACUACUACUACUGCUGCACUGAAUCAUCUUCACCAACAUUCAAACCAGGUUCCAAUGGAUCUGUUUAACCAAGCAAUGUACGGUGCUUCAUCGCAAAUCCCACCCUCUGCAUCAUCUUUCAACCAAGCGCAAUCUCUGGCUCCGAUUCCGAAUUCACUGACGAUAUACCAGAAUCCACUGACGAUGUAUCCGAAUUUGAAUGUUGAAAGUUACUUACGUGGGUUACAAGGAACUGGAAUGAGUGAGUUUCCGAGCAAGAACAUGUUACCCUACAACAACAUCAACAACAACAACAACAACAGUGUUAAUGGUUUUCCAAAACAGUUUUAUCAGAAUGGCAAAGUGGAAGAUUACUCUGGCUAUCUUGGGUUACAAGAAACUGGGAUCAACAACAUGAAUGAUUAUCCCGGUUUACUCUGGGCGCAAGGAAUUGGGAUUAACGGGUUGCAGAACAUGGACAUGUACGGCUACAACAACAGCAACAUUAACACCAAUGGUCUUUCCAAUCAGCUUGUUCAAUUUCCGACACAAAGAGCCGAGCCCGUUUUUCAAUAUGGAUCGAUCAACCCAAAAUUUUAGAUCUCUAUGAGAUUUGAUCUCUCAUCACAUUGUCUCUUAUAACUUAGAAACAUAUUCAUAUAUAUAUUUUGGUUGAUGCAUUUAUUAGUUUGAUCAAUGUCUGUGUUUUUCAGUUAUGUCCGAUUAUUCGCUAUAUGCAUUGUGACUAUUACGUGAUUUUGUUUUUUUUUUGUCUAUUGAUAACUGUCUCCAUUUUUUGUUUUUGAUAAAGAAUUAAUAAAUGUCUCCAUGAGUGACUCUUUUCCUCUUUUGCUAUGCUGAGAAUUUCGAUUAUUAUUAAUGGCAAGCUUUUGUUUUUAAUGGCAAACUUUGAAGUUAAAAAUACAAAAAAAAAUCAGUGAUCUCUCUCUAAUCAUUGGUUGCAUACUUGCAUAUAAAAGGGAAAAAGGGGGAAAAAAAAAUCAAAUGAAAAAUGGAAAAAAAGAACAAAAGAUCCAAACUGGUUCCGACUUCCGAGCUAGCUAGCAAUAAAGUGUUGCUGUUCGGCUUAUUUUAGAAGUAUCCAACGGCUGAGAUUAAUAGAAUUUAAAUCAACGGUUAGAUUCACCGAAGAGCAUAUUACAUUCAGAGUGGGACCGGACCCACAAUCACACAUAGUAGCAAAAUCCCAACCAGGCAUUUGGAUCUAAGGUUCGGGUUCGGAUCGGUUAUUCGGUUCUCAGGUAUCCGAAUAGUGAGAAGAUUGGACCCGGAUAUGACCCGAAAAAAAUUUGAUUCGGUUCGAGUCUUCUUAGAUUUGAGUCGGUUUUAUGAUUUUUAACUGAAACCAUAAUGAAACCAAAAAUACUAUUCGGAUCGGCUUUAAUCUCGAAUUUUCCGAAUUACUCAAGAAAUAAGAUAUUUGAUACGGAUUAUAUAAAAAUGGAUCCAAAUAACUCAAUUUACCCGAUAAAAUCCGAAUUAUCUAAGUAUAUAUAUGUAUAUGUGAUAUAUAUAAUAUGAUAUAUCUGUAAUUUUUCGGGUACGUGAUCGAGUUUUGAGUUAAACCUGAAUCAACCCAAAAAUCAAAUUAGAUUUACACAAAAAUCGUUCGGUUUUUGCAGCUAAACCGAAUCUGACCCGAACCCGGUUUUUCGGGUCGGGUUGCUCUGGUUCGGUUUAUAUGCCAAGGCCAAAUCUCAGCGAAGAAAUUGUAAGAUUUGUCGUCGGAGGCUAAAAAACAAAAGACCUAGAACUUGGAAAGUCGAAGAAGAACCAGAGUUAAACUCUUUGUCGGUCUUCUUCUAUCGUACAUCCGACCAGAUUCUUACUCGUCUGGAAACCCUAGAAACAAAGAAGCUUCACUCGUGAUUCGCGUACGGCGACUUGUCAAUGAGAGAGGUUUGUCUCUCUCUGUUGGUGAUGGCAAGCUCUAUUCGAAUUCAAGUGAGUUAGUUAGUUAAUGUUCGAGAUAUUUGUCGCUCCUCCAAGUAGGUUCAAUUUAGACUGUUUUUUUUUUGUUUUUUGUUUUUCCAUUCGCAUUAGCUUUCUUUUCAAUUUAGGUUCUAUUUGGUACCAAUUUCAUAUUCGGGUCAAUUCGUCUACUUCCACGAUUGGUGCUUCUUCACUUACUUAGUAGUUGAAUUCAAUCUUUUCAAUUGAAAGACAAGAUUUUUCCUCUAGGAUUCUGAGUUUAACGGACUCGCAUAACAUUAAAAGGUUGAAGAUUUCGUGGGUUCUCUUUUCUGUGAAUGAAUGGUUUCAUUAUUAGAGAUCUAUACUAUGAGGCUAUGACAAAGUAAGUCAAUGGUGCUUUAAGCAGCUUAAUACAACACCAGAAAUUUCCACUUAAGAGGAGGUUUUUUAAAUUUAGUCAUACCUAUUCCUUUACUUCAUUACUUACUUUCCUCUCUUUAUGAACAUUUUUGUUAUCUGCAGAUUACCUGUUGAUUCUUGGUGCUAUUAGUUUGUGAGCCUUAGGGGUGAAAAAUGAGUGGCUCGGGAAGAAAACAUGUUUCAAAAUGGGACUCUAAAGAAGACACACAUCAUCAUCAUCAUCAUCAUCAUUCUAGCGUGAAUGCAAAUUCAGGUUCUUAUUACCGCGACAAGGAGCCCGAGCCUGUCCUGUUCAACGGAGAGAGUAACGGUAGUAGGAGGUCUGCUGCUGCAGACGAUCAGCACUCGAGCGAAGCUAGGAGUAGAAGCAGAGCUGCGCAGAAUAACGAUAACAGCUAUUAUUCUGAACAAGAUGAAACUAGGCAGCAGUUUUUCAAUAGGUUAGUGUUUGAGAGUUGUUUCAGUAAGUAAAAAAAAAGUAGACUGCUCUUUUCUUCUAAGUCUCUCUUUCUCUUUCCUUUUUCUUUUCCAGGAGUGGUAGUAGAAGUUAUAGCAGAAGUAGAAGCCGUAGCAGAAGCCCAGUCUAUAGAGCAAGGCGAGAUGCAGGAUCUUAUGAUAGACACAAGUCCAGGACACGAGACUCGUCUCUGUCAAGCAGGGAAUUCAAUAAGAGAGGCGGUGGUCAAAGCAGGAUGACAUAUCAGGCUGAUGAUUUCAGAGAAAAUGCAAUGAUGAAAGGUGCUAGGUCGUCUGGCUAUGAUACUGAUUUUCCAGAGGAUAGUUCAAGAAGGGAGCAUUUACAUGAUGGCGUCUCAGAUCCGAGAUUGAGAAGGCACAGAAGCGAGUUAACGGGAGAGAAAGAAACGCAAAGAAGGGAUGUUGUUGAUGGUGAGGGAGUAUUCCACAGGAGUUCGAAUAUUCCGUGCAAGUUUUUCGCUGCAGGGUUCUGUCGUAAUGGCAAGCAUUGCAGGUUCUCUCAUCAUGGUGGUGAUAGAAAGCAGCCUCAAGAAAGCAACUUUUAUAGAGAGGACAAUAGAAAUCAUAGUAGAUGGAAUGAUGUUGAGAGAUUGAAUAAUGGGAAACUCGGUGGGAUCGAAGUUUCUCGUGCCAGUAAAGGAAUCUCUGAAGCUAAAGGCAACGGUAGUAGCUGGAUUGAUGGUAUGGAGAUGUCUCCAGAUUGGAAUUAUGGUGUGAAAAACCCCAUGAAGAAGGAAGAGUCUGGUGUUGGCAUUAUUGGUCAGAGUUCACAAUCUCGAGAUCUCAAAGAUGAUCAGAGGAGUAGUGAUGUGUUUUCAUAUGGUGACAAACCCAUGGUUGAGAAACCGGUGAACAUGGCUGCUCCUCCCGUUCAAGCUUUCAGUCAGAAUCAUAAUGUGUUGCCUUACCAAAACUCACAAACCGCUGGAGGAAGUCAACAAGUGAUAGCUGCUGCUGCUGCAGAUUUCUCACUAGGCUCGAACUUGAGCAACCCUGAGAGUAGAAUGGUUUAUGAAGAUAAUCAUCACUCAACUGUGGAGAAACCUGUUCCGGUCCAAAAUGACGUGACGAGAGAACAGAUGGAUAAGAUUAGCAACAUCUCAGCAUCUAUAGCGCAGUUUUUUGCUAAUGGACAGCCCAUUCCACAGCAGCUUACACAGGUUUUGCAGAUGCCCUUGCACUCAGAAUCUUCCAUGGCUGUUCAACCAAACCUGGCUACUACUACGCAAAGUAACUCCGUGAGUAAUAAUCCCAAUCUGCUAUGGGGACUUGGGAUGAGCACUGGCCCCCAAGGAGUUUCAACGGUUGCUGCGUCACAGGUAAACGAUGUUGAUGGGACUCGGGAGCUAGCGCUAAAUCCCAAGGCUUCUGAGGAAAACGGAGAGAAAAAGACUGAUGAAGCUAGCAAAGAAGGAGAGGGUAAGAAAACUGGAGAAGACACCAAAGAUGCUGAGAACGUGGUAGAUGAAGACGAAGAUGACGGUGAUGGGAGCGACGAAGAGGACAAGAAAGGGAAAGACCCGAAAGGGAUGCGUGCGUUUAAGUUUGCGCUUGUUGAGAUUGUUAAGGAGCUAUUGAAACCAGCUUGGAAAGAAGGUAAAAUGAACAAAGAUGGUUACAAGAACAUUGUGAAGAAAGUAGUUGAGAAAGUGACUGGUACCAUGCAAAGUGGAAACGUCCCUCAAACUCAGGAGAAGAUUGACCAUUAUCUAUCUGCUUCAAAACCAAAGCUUACCAAGCUUGUGCAGGUGCCUUUAUAGAUAAACCUUUAUCUUCUACUUUCCAAAACUAUAAAUCAACCAUGUUUCUAACCCUUGUUUUGUUUGUGUCAUCUAUUCCAGGCAUAUAUCAGCAAAUUCAAGAAGGCGGAUUGAUGUUUUUGUAAUAUGUUUAUCCACGCUAUGCGCGGAUUGUUAGAUUAAAUUUUAUAAAUGUAUAAUUUUAAAGAUUUUUUAGAGAAAACUUGUUUUUAGCAUAAUUUUUGGCUUGAAGCUUUGAGAAUUGAGUGUUUCAGUUUGGAGAGUUUUUUAACUUAUUUGAUUAUAUAUCCUAAUAUAAUAAAAAUUAUUAAUAAAUUGUAUACUUUUGCAAUCAUCUACUUUGACAUAACUUAUUUUAUACAAACUUGAUAAUUAAGUUUUAAUAAUUCUCAGUGCAUUGAGCAAUAAAUAAAAAAUUAUUAAAUGGAAUAUGUAAGUGUGAGUGUUAAUAUAUUUUAUGAGAGGAAAAAAAAUUGCUCAUCUAUCCUAUUAUACAAAGAAAAAUGAUUUAGGGAAAAAUUGCUCAUCUACAUCUUUAUUUUAUUAUACAGAAGGGAUUGUUAGAUAAAAUUUUUUAAUGUAUAAUUUUAAAGAAUUUUUAGGGGAAACUUGUUUUUAGCAUAAUUUAGCAGAUUGUUCUUAAAUAGAUGCAGCAGCAAAUUGAUUGGUCUCUUAACCGGUUUAAACCGACCUGUACCGUCGCUCCCGCCAUUUUAACUCUUCUCUGAAUUUUUUUUCAGGGAAUAACUAAAAAUUGGGAAUUUGGUGAGAAUUAAAAAAAGCUCGGAAUCUCUUCUUCGCAGUGAAUUGAUUUCUGAGACGGAAAUGGCUUCGUCAACAUCCAAAACCCUAAUGGAUUUUUUUCAACCCGCCAAACGCCUCAAAGCUUCCUCGUCUUCUUCCUCUUUUCCCGCCGUUUCCGCCGCCGGUGGGUCACGCGAUCUGGGUUCGGCAGCUAAAUCGCCGCCUCGCAUUACAGUUAACAAUUCCGUCGCCGACGAUUCGUCUGGCCUCACACCCGAACAAAUCUCUCGCUCCGAGUUCAAUAAAUUCGUUGCCAAAUCCAAGCGCAACCUCGCCGUCUGCACCGAGAAGGUCACAAAAGCGAAAGGUUUGAUUUUUUUUUUCUUUUGCUGAUUUACUGUCCCCUUGAGUAUCCGUGAACUGGGAAAUGAGAGACCUUUUCUAGGGUUUAGCGAAUCUGAUUGAUUUUGGGAUGGAAAUUGCAGCUAAAGGAAGCUGCUACGUGCCGUUGAGUGAGCUCUUAGUGGAAGAAUCAUGGGUUAAGGCUAUUCCUGGAGAAUUGCAUAAACCCUACGCUCAAAACCUUUCUGAUUUCCUUGAACGUGAGAUCAUCGCUGACUGUAAAGGCCCUCCCAUUUAUCCGCCUCAGCACUUGGUUUUCAAUGCCCUCAACACAACUCCUUUUGAUCGUGUCAAGGCUGUCAUUAUCGGACAGGUACAUCAUUUGGAAUGUACUUCUGUAUUCCUCGAUGAGAUUCAUUUUGUGCUUUAACGAGUUUUCCUCUGUUUUGAGUAGGAUCCUUACCAUGGACCCGGUCAAGCUAUGGGUUUGUCCUUCUCUGUGCCUGAAGGAGAGAAGCUUCCUUCUAGCCUUUUGAACAUAUUUAAGGAGCUUCAGAAAGAUGUUGGCUGUUCAAUCCCACGUCAUGGUAAUCUACAGAAAUGGGCUGUGCAGGUAACUGGAGUUUCUUUGUGCUCUCUCCACUUGUUUGUUCCAUCAAUUGUCAGUUAGUUAACUUGGAGAGAUUUUAACUUUUGAGUUUUCUUUUUAGGGUGUUUUGCUGCUAAAUGCUGUUCUUACAGGUAAAGUUUGUUAUCGCAUCAUGGCCUUGUAAGUAUAAAAACUUUUAAAAAUUCUGGAAUUUCUUCUCACACACAUGUCGGUUAUCUUGCCUUGAAAUCCAGUAAGGAGCAAACAGCCGAAUUCACAUGCAAAGAAAGGGUGGGAACAAUUCACUGAUGCUGUUAUUCAAAGUAUCUCACAGCAGAAGGAAGGUGUGGUCUUUCUCCUCUGGGGAAGAUACGCUCAAGAGAAAUCCAAGUAGGUUUUUGGUUUUACGACUAGAAUUCCAUUUUCGACCUCCAAAACAUCAGUACCAGUUAAACUUGUAAAUUUAUUACGCUUAUGUAUUAUUUUCAUUGUUUAUCUUGUAUGAGGGUAUAAGCUUUUCUAUGAUUAUUGCAGGUUGAUCGAUGGGAAUAAACAUCAUAUACUCACAGCAGCUCAUCCAUCUGGUUUAUCGGCGCACAGAGGCUUCUUUAACUGCAGGUUAGGUCUAGUCCACUGCCAUAAUCUGCGCAUUGUGCUUAUGUUGUCCCAAUUCAUAAUUUAACCAUGAGUGUUCCACCUUUGAACAGGCAUUUCUCUCGAGUAAACCAGCUACUCGGGCAAAUGGGGAUUCCACCCAUAGACUGGCAACUUUAACCUCUUAACCGUAAUGUUAAAGCCAAGACGAACUAUGAGUGCUCUUGGGAAGCCUACCAUUUUCCAUCAAUCCCUUUUGGUGAACAGAGCUUGAAGAUUUAACAGUUAUAUAAUGCUCCUCUUUUGUGAAUUACUAUGUUAUCACAAAAUGUUAGACGACUAGCAUAGGUUGUGUCUUCAUUUUGUAGUCUUUGAAGAAUGUUGUGUAUUAUAUAUUAGUGCUGCUUAGUUAUAGAACUUCCAUGUUGCAACAAAGUAUGAAGAAGUUAAAAGUAUGGAUGGUUGAAUAUGUUAAAAGUAUGGAGAAAUGCAUGAAAGAUAUUUGUGCAACCCCAUAUACUGUUAUUCUCGAGUUCAAGGCAUUUCGGGGAAAGAAAUUUACAAUCUUGAAACAAAAUUUACUAUAUUCUAUGAUCAUAAAUUUUCACAAACGAGAUACAAACUUUGCUAAUCUCCAUUACCUGUAAGCUCCAAGUAUGAUUAAUGUUUCUGAAUAACCAAAACAAGCUCCUAAUGUUGCAGGAGGAAAUAGAACGAACGUAUUGACUUUACCAUUCUCUUCUUCUUCUCAUGUCUUAUGUUUUUUCCUCAAGUUCCUUAUAGUUGGCAAGUGCCUUUCAAUUGAAUAUGGACACCCAAAAAACGUCAAAAGAUUCAUGCAGCUCUUUUCACCAUCUUCCUCACUUCCUUGAGAUCUUAAAUGGCUUAAGUAAGUCUUGCCUUCAUAAAUAUAGCUAAGCUGUUGCCACAGCAAAACACUUAACCCAAUCGCCACGGAAACACUCGCCACAAAGAGGUAGACUAGAACAAGGCCUCGAACAGAUAUGAAGAUAGCGUUGGCUAUGUAAGCAAGCACGAUAUUCUUCACAACUCUCAUAACUGAUAAACUAUUAGCAUGUGCCACAUCGGAUGCAUACGCUGCUCCAUUUUCCAGAGGUGGCAAAAUAUGAAUCAAGGUAUACACACACAUAGCAGAAGCGUAGAUUGUGCUUAUGACGGCCGAGAUAAGGAAGGCAAUGAAGUUUUUGUGAUUACCCGCACCAACACAGUUCCCAAUCUGCAAAUACAACACAAGAAGAGUCAUUAACCUUAAGCUCAUAAACAGUACGUAAGGACACAAGUUAAGGUAUUGAUAACCAAGUAUCGUAACCAGGUACUCUAUGAUUGAGGAAUACCAAAGGAAGUAUGAAAUAGUUUGCAAUGAUAAACCUGGUACAAGUCUGUAACUUCUCUAAAAUGCCAAACUCGAAACCCAUUCUAUAUUGAAGUCUUUCGAAGAAAUAUAUGUGAAGUUGGUAUUGGCAAUGAGACUUACAAAGGGACAAUGAUGAUCCAUGUCCAGGACACACAUGCCACAUGUGCGACAGUGAUGGGUUCUAGGUGACUUUGGUUUGGAGCAGUAGUGACAAAAGGUAUAGUUGUUAAGUGCACCAUUCCCUACUCCAGGGUGGGUUCCAUAAAGAAUAUCUGUUGGUUUCCCAGCGCAUUUAAAAGCAACAAGUAUGAACGUUGAUAAUGUUGAUAUCGCCAGAGACACUGUUGUGAGAGAAUGGAAAAUCCCGCAAGCCAAGCUGAUCGAAAACACGACUGGAUACGCAGCCCAAAUCCCACCACCUGCAAGUUUAUUUUCCAAAAGAGUAUAUUUCAACAGGAAAUUGGCAAUUAUCAUUUCUAAAUUUUUGUUAUUCUUGGAUAAUUUAGAGGUGCUUACAUAUCACAAAGAGCAUGAAAACAGCGAGGAUAACGACAAAACACCGGUCACGGAAACGUCUCAAACCAAAUCUUUUGGUUUCAAGUCUGACUGGAUUCUGAUUCGUGAUUGCACCACACCAACCACACUUGAAAACAGGUGCGUAUGAUGGAAGAACAAGGUUUAGUCCACAGCCCCAGCAAAUUGCUUCAUAAUCCUCAUUUAUGGUUGUCACAAAACUCCCCUAGAGUACAAAAAAAUGAAAAGCAAAAGUUCUAUCUUAGAGAACAGUACCACUAUGCAAGGGUCCCUCUAUUUUGAUGAAAACUGAAUUGUGAUUUGGUGAAAAUUUGCGUUCUUCGUGCAUUUUUCCAAUCAUAUAAUCUGCAACUAAAUUACAAGACCCUAUAGACAUUCAUAAGUUUUUCAAAAAAUCCACACUGUAAGCAGGUUUAUAUUCCUAAUUCGGUAAAACAAGCAAACACGUUUUUUGAAACUAGCCAAAAUUUCCAAGAUUUUAUUAUUCACACACACUCAGGCAUCAGAGGAUGAAAUACUUCAAGAAAAUUCAGUGAAGAUAGUCAGAGAGAGAGAAGGAUCCACUAACCUGGGAAGACUCUUCCAUAUCUCAGCUUUAUCGGAUACGAAACCAAAAAACAAGGUUUCUUCAGAAAUCGCAGAAGAUUGAUGAGAGUUAAGAACCAAGAACACAAAAAAAUCCAAAAAUCUAUUCUCUAUUGAAAUCGCAAAAUUCAAACAAAACCCAAAAUCGAGACUUUGGACGAAUUUCACAAUCAAGACUUCAUCCCUCUCUCUAUGUAUAUCAAAAACACUAAACCGAAGAAAAUCCCAUCAAUCAUCUGCUAAUCAAAUGGUAAUCAAUGAAGCAAACAGAACAGCCACGUUUCCGCUGAUUUGUCAGUCAGAAUAUUCGAAAUCUCUAAUCUUGGGUGAAGGGUCCAACGUUGUUGAUUCGCAGAAACACAAGUAUCAGCUCCCUUGAAGCUACGGUCUUUCCACAGAGAUCUGAUCAGAUUGUUGUCCGAUUUUCUCAAUCUUUCAAUCCGGGAUUGCUUGACCAUGACACAAAGCAUCCGAUUCUUCACAAGUAUUUAGGGUUGACCAUCUUUAUAUUUACAGAUACGCAUCUCAGGGAAUUGAGAGACUCAAGUUCCUUCUCUCUCUCUCUAACUCUACAGAGCCCUCUUCCGGUAACUAUCCGCCGAUGGCGACGGUGACGAUAGACACCGGGAAAUUUUUGAUCGGAAGUGUGAGGGAGAAGAGAAGAAAUCUUGAACAGAGCGACGAAAAAUGAAUUUACUUUGCAUAGUAGGCGCUCUCGAUAUUUUUAUUCUAAUUUUUGGUCCUUCUAUUAUAUUUGCUUUUUUGUAAUAACCCAAAUUAUAAUGCAUUAAGAAAAUUAUUAUUGUAACGCCUGUAAAUUAAUUUGAUUUUUUUUUUUUGUUAAUUCGAGGUCAUACGAAAAAGAAUCCUCGGCAAGUAAUUUGAUUUUAAAAAAAUGUGUCUGUCAAUGUCAAAUCCCAACACCAAUUUGUGUAUAGUUUUUUUUUGGUCACGACCAAUUUGUCUACGAAUGAUCACUUUGAAGGACUUGAUUGUUUACGAAUGGUGGCCUAAUGGCCCUGAUCACAGAACAUUUUUUUUCUUCGCGGAUCACUUUAAAUGAUCUUAUCUUUAAAGUUUCAUUUGUAAAGCUUGCGAGUCAAGUGUCUAACAUUUGUUUUUUUUCGCGGAUCACGUUAAAUUAUCUAAUCUUCAAAGUUGCAUCUGUAAAGCUUGCGAGUCAAGUGUCUAAAGACUAGAAAUCGAUCGUUUAAAUGGUAAGAGAUCAAUCGCGUAUGAGGUGGACGGUACAGAUCAAGUUUCACCGCCUAAGGGAAAAAGGAAAAAUAAAUAAUUAAAUGACUUUUAUGCCCAAAAUCAGGACUAGAGAGAGAGAGCUUAAAUACUAAUCUUUCUAUAAAGCCCUAAACACCAAAAAUCUUGAAUCCACUGUCGCAAAUUCACUCGUAAAACCUAAACAGCAGCGAUCGUCAAUCUCCAGCAGUUGUCAUGGGCAUGUCUAAGAAAGAAUCCGCCACAGUAGUAUUCAUCUUUCUCUCCUUCACUUUUUCUUCUCUCUGUUUUGUAGUACGUUUUUUUACCUUCUCCGAAGCUAAUCGAAACUCUGUUUCCAGGUCGAAGCUACAACGAAACUAUUGAAGAAAGGUAAAAAAUUGUUUUUUUUCUUCGAUGUGUUCGUUCUCGAAUUGUAAUUUUGUUGAACGAUGAGAAGAAUUAAUGUUAUUGAUGCUGAACUUGUUGUUAAUUGUGCAUUCUAUUGAAUCUUGGUUCUUUUCUAGUUUCUUACACGAACACUAGAGCAUCCGAUUUCAAUAAUAAUUGAAAAAAAGUGUAUCUUUGUGUUGUGUACAAAGAGGGUUCCAUGAAAUUUGACUACUUUUGUCUGUUGAUGACUAUGUCAGCACUUUUGUUUUUGGGAUUUUGACUUUGUUCUGUCUCUUCACUUUUAGGUAAGAGAGAUGCGGAAGUUGAUCUGGACACCAAAGUGAAUCCGAAGAAGCAGAAGAAAGAGUUUCAAGCUGAGAAGAAGGCACCUCCAAAGAAGAAGAAGGUGGAGACCAGCAGCUCCGACUCAUCAGAUUCUUCUGAUUCCGAGGAAGAACAGAAAGUAUGUUUAGACCUUAGUUAAGCUGAGUUGAAUUCAUGGAGAAUGUUCUGUCUAUAUUCAAGCUGAAUUUAUUUGCUUUUGUGAACAUUCAGACUAAGAAAGACCUUGCCAAGAAGCCUCUGUCUAAGACGAAAGAUGACUCGUCUUCUGAAGAUUCCGAUUCCUCCUCGGAUGAGGUAUGAAUUGCAUCAUAGACAACAUUCUCUUUAUGUUAAAAGGUAUCUUGUGCUUACUUUCAAUUUAUUUUCCCAUAAUUAGGAGCCUUCCCCGAAGAAGCAACUAGCUGCAAGCGUUAAGAAAGCCAAGGCAGAGAGUAGCUCAUCUGAUGAGGACUCUUCUUCUUCAGACGAGGUAUAAACUGCAUAAUCACACUUCUAUCACUGUUAGAGAUGUGUCACGUCAUAUGCUUAAUCUACAAAUUGUUUUAUGAUCAAUUAUAAUUAGGAAUCUGCACAGCCAGAGGUAGUUAAGAAAGCCAAAGAAGAGAGCAGCUCAUCUGAUGAAUCUUCUUCAGACGAGGUAGAGGAAUCAUUACACAUUAGCUCAAUGUUAAUGUUAGAGGAAUUUCAUAUUAAUCUACAACUGCCUUUUUUUUAAUUUAAUUAACUUAGGAAUCAGCCCCUCCAAAGCAACCAGCAGUUGUUAAGAAAGCAGCCAAGGCAGAGAGCAGCUCAUCAGAGGAAGAAUCUUCUUCCGACGAGGUAGAGGAAUUAUUACGCAUUAAACCAAUGUUUUGUUAGAGGAAUUUCAUAUUGAUCUACACUUUCUUGAUAAACUAUAAUUAGGAAUCAGCCCCUCCAAAGCAACAAGCCGUUGUUAAGAAAGCAGACAAGGUAGAGAGCAGCUCAUCAGAGGAAGAAUCUUCUUCCGACGAGGUAUGAAUUGACUCAUUGCUAGUUAAAAGAAAUUUCAUGACAUAUGCUUAUGCUUAGAACAUCGUCUUAAUUGCAAUUUCGUUUAAAAAACAAUAAGGAAUCCGCCCCUGCGAAGAAGCAACCAACAACUGUUAAGGAAGCCAAAGCCAAGGCCGAGAGCAGUUCAUCAGAGGAUGAAUCUUCCUCGGACGAGGUAAAAAUUGCAUUACAUAUUGCUAGCUUAAUGUUACAGGGAUACAGUAUGCUUACGUUACAGUUUUGUUUGUUGAUAAAAACAUAAUUAGGAACCUGCCUCUCCAAAGAAGCAACCAACAGUAGUUAAGAAUGCCAAGCCAGCUGCAAAAGAUUCAUCAUCCUCAGAGGAUGAAUCAGAAGAUGAAAAGGUUUGGAAAUAUUUCCAAGUUAUUUGUUACUUCAGAUUCAGUAACCAUCAGCGGAAAAAAAGUAAUUGUUUGUUUACUAUUUUUUUGUAUAUAAAAAGGAACCUGCUACAAAAAAGAUUCCAGCUUCUGUUAAAAGCAUGUCAGAUUCAGAUUCAUCAGAGGAGGAUUCUGAUGAUGAGGUUUGUUUUGACGCAGUUUCUAGUUCUUUGUAUACUAAUAAAACAUGAUAAUAUAUGAGUAUUUGUUAUUUGUUAUUUCUGAAGAUUUGGCUCUUUAAAAGGUUUUGUGAUGUCUUUUAUUCUAUACACUUACCUAGUCCAUAUUAUUGCGUUACUUGCAGGAAAGUGAUGAUGAAAAACCUCCUCAGAAGAAGGUAUGUUCUUCCGCCAAGUUAUCUUUUAUUAUUUUUUUGUAGCAUAAGUGUACGUCGAUAGAAGUAAAAUGUUUUGCCUUGUUAUACAGGCUAAAGUUUCAUCAACAAAAUCUUCUAAACAAGAAAGCAGCAGUGAUGAAUCUAGUGAGGAAGAGAGUGAAGAUGAGAAAGUAACUCCAAAGAAAAAGGUAGCUACCAAUAAUGCUUCUAAACAAGAAAGCAGUAGUGAUGAAUCUAGUGAGGAAGAGAGUGAAGAUGAGAAAGUAACUCCAAAGAAAAAGGUAGCUACCAAUAAUGAUGUUACAUCUUUUAUGUAUUUCGUAUGAAGAACAGCUCUAUAUAGAAUCUAUGAUAAAAUUUAUUUAUUCCAACACUAAUCAUCUUUUCAUCAAAACCAGGAUUCUGAUACUGAAAUGGUGGAGGCAGAGCCUAAAUCAAAUGCAAAACAAUUGAAGACACCAACCACUCAGACCCCAACUGCUCAGACACCAACCACUCGGACUCAAGGAGGAUCAAGGACACUAUUUGCUGGAAAUCUUUCCUAUCAUAUCAAGAGAUCUGACAUGUAAGUAUGUACAAAAUGUAUUUUUUUCUUCUGGAUAUUCCGAUAAAAUGUUGGUUGCCUGAUACAUAUAACUCAUAUCCAGUGAGGAAUUCUUCCAAGAAGCUGGUGAAAUCGUCGAUGUUAGAUUUGCUUUGCAUGAAGAUGGCAGUUCUAAAGGAUUUGGGCAUAUUGAAUUUGCUACUGCAGAAGCAGCUCAGAAGGUAAGUUGUUACAGGCUAUUUUGGAAUCAUUAAGUGGUAAGUGGAGAAUUACAAUUAUGACUGGAUCUUUUGUUGGAUGUAGGCAUUGGAGCUGAACGGUAAACCAUUGCUAGGCCGCGAUGUUCGGCUUGAUACUGCUAACGAAAAGCGUGCUUCCAACACUACUCCACGAAGCAGGUACUUUUCUUACCUCCCAUAUGAGCUUGUUGUGAAUGUUGAUUGUGUAUGAUGCAAACACUAAAAAUGCUGGAAUGUUUUCAGCAAUGCUGCUCGCAACUACCAGAGCAGUGACAAAGGACAAGGAAGCCAAAGUAAAACGAUUUUUGUUAGAGGAUUCGACUCUUCUCUCGGUGAACAUGAAGUAAAAAUCCUCAUCUUCAACUUUGUUUUAAAACCAACUCGACAUGUGAUAAAAGGUAUUUAUAUUAAAAAAUCUCUGAAGCAAACACUAAAAAAAAAAACUCUGUUCUGAACAUCUUCAGAUCAAGAGUGCCUUGAGAGAUCAUUUUAGUGCUUGUGGAGAAAUCACAAGGAUUGCUAUUCCAACAGAUCCUGAGACUGGUGCUAUCAGGGGGUUUGUAACUCUUGUUUUCCCGCGCUAAUGAAUGAUGAAUGAUGAAUGAUGAUGAUGUUGUUACUCAUGGAACGUAUGUUGUCUUUCAGGAACGCUUUCAUAGAUUUGAAGGAUGGUUUAAACAAGGCAUUGGAGCUAAACGGAAGUGAAGUUGGAGGACGGAACAUAAUGGUGAGCAAGGCUCUACCAAGAGGAGAGAGUGCUGAUCGUAGUGGAGGACGUGCAAGGGACAACAACAAUGGUGGCCGUUUUAAUAACAAACGUGGAAGGGGGCCAAGGGGCAACGACAGUGUCCCUUUUAAAAGAGGACGUGGAAGAACACCCAGCAAACCAAGUUUACUUGCCUCAGCCCAAGGUUUUGUUUCUUUCUUCCUCAUCUCUCCCUUGAGCUUCUUUUGUUGCCUUGUAUUGAAUCUUUUUCUCAUAACCUUUGCUUUUGUAUUGUCUUGCAGGGAAGAAGACCGUUUUUGGUGAUAAUGAGUGAAAAAGCUUGGCUCUUCUUUUUCUUCUAUUGAUUUAGUUCUUUUUCGGCCUAGUUUCUUUUUUUUUUUUUUUUGGAAUUUGAGAAAAACAUUAAGCUUAUGAUGAGUUUACCCUUUAUGUUAAGGUUGAGAGUUUGGUUUCUUUCUGUGAACUAAUAACGCCUUGUGGGUGUUGAAUGAAUCCCUUAACUCUUGCUUCAGUAAUGGUUCCUUACAAUUUACAACCGGUCUAAUUUACAAUUUGAAGUUUUUUUCAUUCUAGUUGAUAGAUUUUUUAUGUUAACUAUCUUAUUGACAGAUUCUCAACUAAAAACUAAAGAGACUGAAAGUCCAAACCAAGGUGGUCAAAAACAUUAUAAUGUGAAGGAACAAUAUAUAUUAAAAAAAAACAACAUACAAAUACUGAGAGUGAUUACAUCAGUUUUAUAUAGAUUACACCAUUUCGUGCUCAAUUUUUAUUUUAGUGAAAGAGCUCAGACAAUGUGAAGUUACUGCCUUAUCUUCUCUGUGUAUUCCAUUGCUCAAGCCAUACUUUUCGAAACAUAGAUGGUAUUUGAUAAAAUUAAUGUUAUGCUUUUGGCUCGACAGAUUGCAAGACACAGUGUAACUUUUUUUUUUUUUUGACCAAAGGCUUCACAGUGUAACUUUUUCGUUAACUAUUUUAAUUUUGUCUAGUUCUUGAGGGAUCAAAUUACUUAAAUACAUUAACAAAAAUGAUAAAAACAUUAAAACAAAAAAAUGAAUCCAAAUUUGGCGCAUGUGUUGUGUUUGUUCGAAACAAUUUUUUUUCUAACGACGGUUGAAACCUUUUAAAAAAAAAAAAACAUUAAUAUUUAUAAGGUUUUUCCUUACAAUUUAAUAUUUUAAAUAUUUUAUAAUAAAAAACAAGUUUUAUUAAUAAAUAAAAAAACAACUCGAAGGUUUACGAGUUGCACAACACUCGUUAAACCCUAAACCUUUAUUUCUGUACGCCGCGUUCUUCCCUCUCAUCUCUCUCUCCUUCUCCAUCUCUCAAAGUUUCUCCCAAGCUAAAUUAUCCAAUUCUGCUCGCUAUCGCAUCCUUCAAGUGGGUAAGUCUCUUUUCUGUUUCUCUUUUGCAGUAGUAAUUCCUUUUCCAAGCUCUGUAUCGAUAAUAAAUCCAUUACUGGGAUUGAGAAAAACCUAAAUUUUUCAUGUUCUAUUGUAAUACACGGGCUCUUACAAUCUCUACCCACAUUCUUUUGGAUUAAGAAUUGAAAUUCACGGUUUUAGAGACCGAUGAUUAGGAUACAAACCUUAAUUUUAGUGGGAGAGAGUUUGCUUUGUCAGUCUUAGAACUUGCCUUCUUUCAUAGAUUAAAAACAUUCUCAAAAUAUGUUGGUUUUCCUCCAUUUACACAAGUCUGUAAUUUUUUCUGCAGAGAGUUGAUUGAUUGAAAGAGCGUAGACAUGGUUGAACUGGAGAAGAAUUCCAGUGAAGAGAUCAAGAAGAGGAUAAGAAAGCGAAACCGUGGUAAGAAGAACGACCAGCAAAGGACGGAAGAAGAAACCCACAACGUAGAGGAAAACACAGAUGAAGUCCAGAAGAAGAGGGAAAAGAAGGUUAAGAAAGUGAAGUUGCAAGGGAAAGGCAAAAUCGAAGAAGAGGAAGAUGAAGAGGUGGAAGCAAAGGAAGAAACAGCAGACGAAGAAGAAGAAGAAGAAGAGAAGAAGAUCGUGGUUGUCAGUAAAGGGAUCAUGACUAAUGAAACUUUUGAAUCCCUGGACUUAUCUGAGCAGACUUUUGAAGCUAUCAAGGAGAUGGGCUUUCAGCACAUGACGCAAGUAAGUAGAUCUGAUACCAUUUUUUCGAUGUUUUUAACUGGAUUUGCAAAACAGGGUCUUUUUAGCAGAGUAUGUUUCUAAGUCUCUUAAUCUUCUGCUAUAGAUUCAAGCCGGAUCAAUUCCUCCCCUUUUGGAGGGAAAAGAUGUUCUUGGUGCUGCCAGGACGGGUUCUGGUAAAACCCUUGCUUUUCUCAUACCGGCUGUAGAGUUGCUGUUUAAAGAGCGUUUCUCUCCUCGCAAUGGGACUGGUGUGAUCGUUAUUUGCCCCACAAGGGAGCUUGCUAUUCAGGUAAAUGCCCUGUUCAUCUAACCUAUGGCAUUUUAACUUAGCAUCAACCAUACUGUAACUGUGAGUACAUGAGUCCUGUAAUUCUUGCAGUGGGAUAGGUAGAAAUUUAUCUCUCAUGUACAUGAUUCAUUGCAAUUGUGUUCGAUUUUUAAAGUAUAAAUAUUGUUGUACGUUAUCUCAGACUAAAAACGUUGCGGAGGAGCUACUCAAGCAUCAUUCACAGACGGUCAGCAUGGUCAUUGGUGGCAACAACAGAAGGUCGGAAGCCCAACGUAUUGCGAAUGGUUCAAAUUUGUUGAUAGCAACUCCUGGGCGUCUUCUUGACCAUCUUCAACAUACAAAAGGUUUCAUUUUUAAGCACCUGAAGGUACUGUCCUUUUUCAUAGUUUCUUUUGGCGCGUGUACUUCUCUUCAUUUUGUGGGGUAGAUGUUAAAACUGUUACUGUUGAGCCAAUAGACAUCAUUUCUUACAGACAAACAAUACUAGUAAAAGAGCCAUAGAUGAAUUGUAGACAGCUUAUUAUAUGGUAUUCAUUUCCGCCGCACCUGUAUUAGAAUUAGAGGGAAAACUACAAAAUAUUUGGCUAAUAAUUAUAUUUCUAGCAUGGGCUGUAGUGAAUACUCUGUUUUAUGCUGUCGAUGACUCCACUGGGAUUUAUCUUUGCAUAUGCUCCUAUAAAUUGCAGUGCCUUGUGAUCGAUGAAGCUGACAGGAUAUUGGAAGAAAAUUUUGAGGAAGACAUGAAUAAGAUUCUAAAGAUUUUACCAAAGGUAAAUCAUCUCUUUGGGUCUUAAGUGUAUUCAAAGAAGAGAUGAGAAAACUAGAUGAAUAUUAACUUUAAGCAUCAUAAGUUCCUUUUCUUUUCUUUUUGUUUAGUAAAUUUUUCCUUCAUAGCAACAAGCCAUGGUAUUGUUAGUCUCUUCAGCCAAAACCUACUAGCGAAAUAGUUUUGUUGGAUUCCGUAUGUUCAAAUGUCUACACGAAUCAUGUGCCAAAGUUUUUGGCAAUACUAUGGCUUGGAUUUUGUUCUGAUUAAAGUUCUUACCAUGUUUCUGCAGACUAGGCAAACCGCACUAUUCUCUGCCACCCAGACCUCUAAGGUAUUUUUCUAUUAGCUGCGGUACUGUCAUUAUUAGUAUUUUCUGUUUCUUAAUUAUGCUAUGUCUUGGUGAAUCGUAACAGGUUCAAGAUCUUGCUCGGGUGUCAUUGACGUCUCCUGUUCAUGUUGAUGUCGACGAUGGUAGACGCAAGGUAUGGAUCAAAAGAAACACUCUGGUAAUGAAAAUUUAAGGAGCAUGCCAUUGAGAUUUUACUUAACUAAGUUUCCAAAACUGUUAGGUGACAAAUGAAGGAUUGGAGCAAGGCUAUUGUGUUGUUCCGAGCGAAAAAAGACUUCUGCUUCUAAUUUCUUUUUUGAAAAAGAACCUAAAUAAAAAGAUAAUGGUGUUCUUCUCGACGUGUAAGUCGGUACAGUUCCAUGCUGAAAUCAUGAAACUAAUAAAGGUGGAUAGCUGUGAUAUCCAUGGCGGACUAGAUCAGAACCGAAGAACGAAAACCUUUUUCGACUUUAUGAAAGCAGAAAAAGGUAUCUUGUUAUGUACUGAUGUUGCUGCUCGCGGUCUCGACAUUCCUUCCGUGGUACGUAUCCACACUAUGUUCUUUGCAUUGAUAACUAACGCUUUAAUUAUACCCAAUAUUGAAAUAACAUUGUGUUGAAUAUUAUUAUCUGUAGGACUGGAUUAUACAGUAUGAUCCUCCAGACAAGCCAACGGUAAGAGAAAUACUUCGCUCUGGUCUUAAUUAUAUACCUUCUGUCUGUUUGUGUAUCUUAGAUUGUUCUUGGGUGCUGUUUGUUUACAGGAAUAUAUCCAUAGAGUUGGUCGAACAGCUCGUGGAGAAGGAGCAAAGGGAAAGGCUUUGCUUGUCUUGAUCCCUGAAGAGCUUCAGUUUGUUCGAUACCUUAAGGUAUGAAUGGUAUUUAGAAUCUUUUUUUUUAGGGUAAACCCACUUGUUUUACUGAUUUGUACUUUAACCUGCAGGCUGCAAAAGUACCUGUGAAAGAGCUUGAGUUCAAUGAGAAGAAGCUUUUGAAUGUUCGAUCUGCGCUGGUAAUAGUUCUGAUUCAGUCUAUUUGCUGUGUGUGAAUAACUUUCCGUUUGUAAUUGGGAUUCGUUGUGAUAAUAACAUCGUUUCUUGCACUUGUUCCGCAGGAGAAGUAUGUUGCCAACGAGUAUAAUCUGAACAGGUUAGCGAAGGACGCGUACCGAGCUUAUAUAUCAGCAUACAAUUCACAUUCUCUGAAAGAUAUCUUCAAUGUUCACCGACUCGAUCUCCAGGUAUAAAAACACACAAAUAGACUAUUUGUUAAUUGUGCUUGAGGGGUUAGAAGAUAGCAGGUUUUUUCAUAUCUCUGUCAUUGGAUUGUCACAGGCGGUUGCUGCAUCGUUCUGCUUCUCUUCGCCUCCAAAAGUGAAUCUGAACAUAGAAAGCGGAGCUGGGAAAGUGAGGAAGGCGAGGAAUCAGCAAAGUCGCAAUGGCUUCUCUUCUAAAAGUCCCUAUGGCAAAGGCAAGUCCAAUCCUAAAGAGGCAUGAAGUUUCUCAACCAGCCUUUAAAUAUUAGUGUUCUGCUCCUCAUUUUUGGGAAACCUUUUUUGUUUUAUUAAUUACCACCGAGUUUUGUCUGAAGAGUAACAGUACUCUGCUUUUUAAUUAUAGAUGAAAUGUUUCUUGUAUUACUUCAGAUCUUUGAGUUGUUAUAAGAAUUGUUUUAUUAAUUUUAUGACAGCUUUCUUUAGGGGCCAGAGAUUGUUUUCUUAGAACAAAAAGUGUCAAACGCUAAGACGUUGAAAUAUAGGAAAUCGUAAAGAACAUAGUUGAGAAAUAAUGAGAUUACAAUAAAAGGGAGAACAUGUGAAGAUUGAAACCUAGACCGGUCAUUGUUAUUCGGAAUACUCACUGCCUAAGAACGAAAAUAGUUGAAAACCUAAAGAGAACAAAAUGCUAAACCGGUCUAAAGUUUGCUGUAACUAAACCAAACCAAAAACCGAAACAGCCAUAAUCGCAAAGACAACAAAACCGGAACUACUGAACUGGACUGCGUUUUUCAAGGCACUGCUCUUCUUGUGAGUUGACGCCGGUAGAGAUGGUGAAGAAGAAGAUGAAGAUGAAGAAGACGAAGACGAGGAAGGAGGAGGAGACUCUGGCGAAGACUCCUCCGUCUCCAUGACUUUUAUGAUCAUCUUCUGACCCUUCUCGCAGUGGCCUGAUACACCGCUAAUGAAGUAAAACAAACCGGGACGGUCUAGUUUGAAAACCGUGUCUUCGUUGUUCGAAUAGAGUUGCGGUUUAGUCGCCUUGCAUUUCUUGUACUCUUCUUUUGAUACCAUUAACACCGAGUCUUUCUUGUACUUGAAACCUUCGCCAAAAUAAACCAAAAUCCCCACAAGAAAUUACAUAUUUUUAAGAUGAAAGUUGCAUACAAAAAAGAAAAAGAAGGAAAGAACUAAAAAAAAAAAGUACUUACGGAUAGUGUCGCCAACUUUAAACCGGUUGUCUGAAGCCCACUGGUUAAACAUGUCUCCAUGAGCCGUAGAUUUUGGCACGAUCCAACCAUCUUCUCCUCCAACUUCAAAUUCAGUGCUUGAAACACAUGAAAACAUAAAGAAUGAUACAAGGAGCGUAACGAGAGUGAUCAUCUUCAUUGAACCCAUUUGUUGUUUUUGGAAUGAUAUCUAGGGAGCUCUAACAAAAAAAAAAGGGGAUUUGUUCUUGGCAGAAAUCUAAGUAACGAGGACUAUUUUUUUUUUCUUCUCUCUGCUCUUUAUGGCUUGUGAACACUCGAGGUCUUGAGUUUAAAAAGAGUGAGAUUUCGAGGUCUGUUAGUCUUGACCACAUCUUGAGGGAUAAUUAUUGGAUAUAUCUUUGACUUGGUAUUUUACAUUUUUUGAAUCAGAAAGAUAACUUGUGAAAACAACAUGACUCGAAGUUGUUGAGUAAUAUCAGAUUUUAUGGGAUACGUGCUUCUUAUUCUGAGUUACAAAUUUGAAAUUAUGUGGACGAUGUCUUUUUCUAAAGAAUUCUUUUAAAGAUAGUUUUGGUGAAAAUGUGUAUCACUUACGCACAUAUUUUAACAUCUAAAAUCAAAACUACACCUAAGGAUACGGACAUACGGCGUGUGACCAGUUAUGCUAUUGCUUAUACGGAUUUUCAUUUAUGGGUUGAAAUUGUUAUUUAAUAAAGUUUUGGUAAAUAUUCUUAGAUUUGGAAUAAUUCAGGCUCAUUGUCCCAAAAUGUUCCAAUGACUUUCUCAGCUUCGAGCACUUUAGGGUUUAAGACGUUUAAACCCAGAAUCCUACAUUUCGUCGUUUCGAUUCGAAAACUCAGUGAAAGAGCUAAAAAUGGCGAAUUCAAUGGCCACGCUUUCGAGAAGACUCUAUCGAUCCCUUCUCUCGAACCCUCGAUUCUCUCAAUCUUCCAUGUCCUUCUGCUCCAACAGCAUCUCAUCCGACUUGGACGAGUUAUCGGCUAACUCGGACACUGAAUCGCCCCUUGAAUCGAAGUAUUCGGAUCCAAUGUCUCGAGUGUCCGGAGAAGAACGCGUGAUGGAAGAGCAUCCCCUCGAAAAUGGCCUCGAUGCUGGCAUUUACAAGGUACCAAAUUUCCUCCCCUCGAAAUCGGUUCUAGUUCCAGUUGAUUUCUUAUAGCCAUUUCCAUCGGAAAUUGUAUCCGUUUUGUUAUUUUAUUUUCUCGAACCAUCCAUGGAGAUCAUUGCAAUUUAGCUUGUUUAAUUCUCGAGUAUGAUCAGUGUUAGUCAGUUUCUGAAUAUCUUAGGUCUCCUUUGGUUUGCUUAUUAGUGAAUUGUGCUAAUUUUCAGGCAAUUUUGGUGGGGCAAGUGGGACAGCUGCCACUGCAGAAGAAGCUGAAGAGUGGAAGAACAGUGACUCUCUUCUCUGUAGGAACCGGUGGGAUCAGGAAUAACCGGAGACCGAUGAUUAACGAAGACCCUAGAGAAUAUGCGAACCGUUCUGCAGUGCAGUGGCACCGUGUCUCUGUUUACCCUGAACGCUUGGCAGAUCUUGUCUUGAAGAACGUUGAACCCGGGUUAGUUCUCUUAUUAUGUGAUGGGUAUUUUGAUUUCUCUAAGAUUCAUGUCGGUGAAUAAAAAAGGAAGAAGCUUUAGGUGGUUUCUUAGUUGCUAGAAUCAAAAUGGCUGCUUUCUUUUUCCAUGCUUGUGCCAGUGAAUAAACAUAUCCGUGUUCUAUGCAACAGCACAAUUGUUUACUUGGAGGGUAAUCUGGAGACGAAGAUUUUCACUGAUCCAGUCACUGGUUUGGUUCGACGUAUAAGAGAAGUCGCAAUUCGUAGAAACGGUAUAAAUGGCUCAACUCCAAAGAAAUCGAUUUUGUUCACUCAGAUUUAGCAUUGUUCAUAUUUAACUGCAAAAAAAAAAAAAAAAACAAAUCAGAUGUUGAUCUCUGUGUUUUCUUCCUCCAGGCCGAGUUGUGUUUUUAGGUAAAGCUGGUGAUAUGCAGCAGCCAAGUUCUUCUGAGCUUAGAGGCGUUGGCUACUACUGAUUUUUAGCAUAUAAAUUGUCAUUACGAGACACAAUUCGGUAUUGUAUCUUUUUCGCUUUUGUUGUCUCUUCUUGUAACUUGAUCAAUGCAUUUUUAGUUAAACCGAGUCUAAACCAAAAUUUUUAAUUAAACCGAGUCUAAACCAAAAUCUCGAUUAAAGACAAUGAAACAGAGACCUAUCUACACGUGUUUGGAAACCUUGCAUGAAUGCCACCUCGAAGCUGAAUAUAUCCUCCAUUUGUUUGUUUCACCCUUUCCUCUUUCUGUUCUCUCAAUCACCCACACAAAAGCAAACAAUCAGUCUCUACAAUGGCGGAAACGUUCUCUAGCGGCGAGGCCCAAUAUUGGCCCAUAUACGGUAGCAACACCACCGGCAGCAACAACAGUUCCUAUGCUUCCCUUCUCCGCCUUCUCCGAUCUCAUUCACCAACCUCCUCACAGCUCUUUGGUUUCCUUGCUCUCUUCAUAUCCACCGGAAUCCUCCUCUUCCUCCUUGGUGUAACCGCGACGGCCACCACAAUAGCCUUCAUUGUGUUUCUUCCGGUGAUCAUCGUCUCGAGUCCGAUCUGGAUUCCCAUUUUUGUCAUCGUUGUCGGUUUCUUAACCGUCACCGGUUUUCUUGUCGGAACGGUGGCCGUUGUGUUGUGGACGUACCGUUAUUUCCGUGGAAUGCACCCGGUUGGAUCGGAUCAAAUGGAUUAUGCACGUAGUCGGAUCUAUGACACGGCCUCUCACGUCAAAGAUUACGCUAGAGAGUACGGUGGAUAUUUCCACGGCAGAGCUAAAGAUGCGGCACCUGGUGCUUGAUGACCUGAACCAGUCGGUAUAGUACUCUUGUUCAUGGUGAUAUUAACCGAUCGCGGUUCGGUUUUUAUGGAGGAUUAAUACGGUUCGUGGUAGUAUUACAUUUUGUUUUUUUUGUUUCCGUUUAUAAGAAGAAGAGCCAAAGAAUAUAUUUUGGUUAUGUACAAGCUUUUUAAGAUUUUGGGUGCGUGUGUUAAAUUUCAUUCGGUUAUGUUUGAAUUAUAAAUUUUGAAGAUUCACGAAAGUAUAUAAUAUGACUACAUAAGAUCGCGUUUUCUAAGCAAUGCAUGAUAGAUUGAUAGGAGUAUCUUCCUUGCUUAUUUCAUACGUUAGGGAAGAACAUACUACAUCUUUGUUGUGUCCUUUUUCUAAUAACGAAGUUUAUUUAUAUGAUUUGAUAAUAUAGCCUCGUCAAAGUUUGAAAAACAAAAACACUACUCAAGUUAAUUAGAACCUUGUAUUCCUAUAAUUUUAUUGAUUGCAGCCCUAAGUAUACGUUUUGUGAACAUGACAAUUAUCUAUCUUUGAAUGGUGUUAUAUACUUAUAUUACUAGAUUGAAUCUCUGACCAAAAUAAAAACGGACGGAUUCUUUGAAGGUUAAAUCAGCUACAGAGGGCAAAGAAAUUUCUGUUACAAUAAAUUGUCUUAGUUCAUAAAUCAACCCACGACUAUGAUAAUAUAUCAAAAUGAUUAAAAUGAAAUUUUGUGAAACGACAAAAGUAGGAUAAAUGAGUAAAAAAGACAGUUGAUGAAAAUUACAUGAGUGAAAUUUCGAUUUAAGAUUUUAUAGCAGCCAACUAAUGAUCUUUUCAUCCUCUCAAACCAAUACCAGUGUACAAAAUAUAAGACUAAUUCAUGUAUAGGCUUUAUAAUCUUACAACACUUUCCUUUUAUUUCUUUUGCAUAUUAUUUAAAUACUCGAGACAGCAUUUAAGAACAGGACAUUAGGGAUAUAUUUAAGAAUCUAAAGGUGGAAUCGUUUGGAUGGACUUCGUUGUGUUAUGAUUUGAGGUCAAAGUCAGCAGACAAAAAGCAUCGGGCCCUCAAGUCAACACCCAUAUUUGGCCGGACGUCAACCGUUGAUUUGGUCAAAGGAAAUUAUUUUGGCAUUAGUAAUCAUUAACACGGUUAAUUAAGGCCAUCAUCAUUGGAACCUUGUUUUACCGCAUAAUGGAUUCAAAGUUUAAUCAUACCAUAUAUAAAUAAUAACACAUACCCGCAAUAGAAAGCUAAAAAUACAAAUGUAACUCAACCAUAUUUAGUCGCUUUUUCUAUGGUCCCGGUAAUGAACGGCUGUAACUGAGCCGUUAGUAUAUCUUUUAAUACUACCACAAAACUUUAUAAUUUGCCAAAAAGUAUUAACUGUAUAAAGUACACAAUAAUAAGCCUGAAACAUGUAAUAUGUCAUCUAUCAAUAACAAGGGAACAAAGUAACUUCUAGCGAAAUUUAACACUCACCUGAUAACACACAAAACAGAACGAACAUCAAUCAAAUUCACUAAAUUUAAAUUUCUUUUCCCGUCGGGUUUAACAAUGACCCAACAUAAGAACGGGUCGGGCGAUCCGGCACUAGACUUGCACGUGGCGACCUCGGAGGAACUUCCUUUAGCUGAUGUCCACUACAAUCGUAGUAGAUCACACCGGAAUAAUCCAACGGCUCACAUUUUCCUCCCAUCAAAAUCUCUCUUUGCCAAACACCGUACUCCUCCUCGUCCUCCUCCACCACCAUCUCCGCCGCCGUCUUUCUUGCAGCCGGCGUACCUCCACUACCGUCGUAUGCUUUAUUUUUCCGGCCAACCAUAGUCAUUGCCUUGUUGCUCAGAGUCGUCAAAAGCUCCUUAGGACGUGUUCUCAUCGGCGAAAAAGCACGUGCCGGACUCCAUCCAAACCUUCCUCCUCCGGCGCCUUCUCCUUCGCCGUUAGAUUUAGGGUUCUCGAGAUAGUCUUCGAGGUGAUUUCGUUUCUUAGUAGGCUUGAGUUUAAGCUUCUUAGAGACUCUGUUUGCGUGUCUUGCACAAAGUACCAUGAGAGAGACAAGAAAGCUCACGCUUAAACGUUUGUGGGUGGAGGAGACAUGUUCCGGCGUCGAUCUCUCCAUCUCUCCGUCGUUUUCUCCGGCAAGUGAAAAGUGGGUUUAAACUCAAAGUCUCAAACGAUAAAAUAUUAAUGAGAUUAUUCUUCGUUUGAAUUGGUUGGGGUUACGUAUAUUUAUAUAAAUACAGGUCCAAAGGGUGUUAGCUUACCGGCUAAUCCGGUAGCCUUUGCGUUGACAUCUUUUAUUAUGUUGACAUUUUCUUGGUUCUUUGUGUCAGUGAUGAUCUCGUUUUAUAUAAUAUGAUAUUAAUGCAUGAAUGAUUAGGACGAUUUAUGAUUGCAUUCUCUUUAUUUUGAUAUGUUUUGUGUAUUAAACCAAACGAGCAUGCGAGAGACAUGCAUCAACGAUCUUUUGAUAAAACUCCAACGUGUUUCAAUUUUAUUCCUUGAUAAAGUAUUUGCUUCAAUUCGUGAGUUCUAAAGUAAAAAUUAUUAUAAAUUGCUGUAUAACAUAUUUCGUCAGCUCAUCCUUAUCAUUUUUAUAUAUUUGUUUUUUAAUAUUUUUUUGUAAAGUUUGAUUAUAAUUCUUUUCAAAGACGAGCACUAGUACUGGUGGGGCAAAUAUCAUCAACACAAUAAAUUGAAGUGAAAACCCCACUCAACGUUAGGUGUUGGCUGAUGUGCAAUAAUUUCUCCUUCCAUGUUUAUCACAAAAUCGCAACAAACAUGCGUCAGGCAUCACCAUUUAUAAUUAACAAUAAUAUCAUAGAAAUUCAAACCACAAAUAUGGCUGAUUAAUUAAAUAUGGGUAUAUAACCACAUUACGGCUCAGAAAUGCUGAUUCCGUCAUUGACGAAAAAGGGUUAAUUUAGCCAAACCCAAUUUGUAUUUGUUAGGUUAUGCAGCAUGACAGAUAACUUUAGAUGAGAUCUUUAUUUUCCGAGAGUUUACAAAAAAAAAAAAAAAGUUGGUUGAAAAAGAACUUCUAAAUACGAGCUCUGGAACAACUUGCUCAUAAUGUCAAAUGUGUAAAGUGAAUAAUGUAAAUGUGUUUAUAUCCUAAGUCACAAUUGUAAAGUGUUGUUAUAUUAUGAUCACGACCUUUCAUUAUCCUCUACGUGUUGCGAACCACGUGUCUAAGUCUAGCACUCGCGAACCAGAUUCGGAUCGGGUCAGGUUAAUGAUAGUGGACCCAGUCGGCUUCUCAUCAACUUGAUCUUUAAUUUGCCACUGAACAUCAACACAACACGACGGUGACUGCUAAAAGGUCCCACCGAGGUUUUCUAUUUUCGUUUUCGUUUGUGAAACUCUGACUCAGUCUCAGCUCAAUCUGUUUAUAUAUUUGUUACAAUACAGUUUUAUUUUUUGGUAUGAUCUUUGUUACAGUAGUUUUGUAAGAAGAAGUUGCAUACGAUUUUUGGGGGUUAGUGUGUUCGUUUAAUUGUUAUAUUAUGAACUACCCUAUUAGGGGCUUUGGGCUAAGGCAAAUAUGAUACCCACUUGAAGUUUUUUUUACUACUACGAGCAAUCGUUUCUUGGCGUUUUCACAUCAAUAUCAUAUUCUAUCGCUUGGAUUUCGGCGUAUCCAUAAAUUAAUCUCAUUAGUCCAAUAGUCCACUUGAUUAAAAACAAAAAUUAACGUAUCAUUCACAUAGAAAAACACCUAACAUUUUACGUUGGUGGUUAGCCAAUUUUAAUUAAGGUUCAUUGAUUAGAAUAGCAAAGGGACGCUAAAUGUAGUUGACCGGAACGACCUGUACGUAUUUCUUUAUUAGCCCACUAUAAUCAAGUUUCGCUUCAAGUUUGGUUUUCUUGAUUUGUUUUUCUGUUUAUUUUAUGAAUUGUCAGAGUCUUCGUAGUACUGGACACCCCUAUCUUAUUACCAAAAGCUCUCGAAUGCGAUAUAUAUGUGCAUAAAGAACAGCAUUUUCAACAAAAUUGGUAGAAUAUGAAUAGAAACAAUUGAACCUUAAAGUUCAAAUAGUUUGGUACAAAUAAUUAACGAAGAAGAAUCGCUGUUGAAGGGGAGUUAGGAAGCACGAUAUCCUCAAGUGUUAGGUAGCCUCCCUCUUAUUAAGAAAACUUUUAUUUAAACCAGAACAUAUAAUUCAAAGCUAAUACAUAACAAGUAAUUCAAAAUAUUUAAUCCUUUAAAAAAAAAUCAAAUUAAUUAGCAAAUAUGUGAAUAUUGUCACUACGUGUAUCCAAGAAAAGUUGACCGUAGUGUAGGUUUUAGAUCGUAUUGCACUGAAUAAAUUUUGCUUUUCAGAUUUUGAUGUUCAAUUUUAAGUUAAUUAUACAGUAUUGCUUAUAAUAUUGUGAUAUUAAUUUGGUCUGUUUACAAUCCUUCAAUAUUAAAAACAAUUGAUUGGGAGAAGCUAUUCUAAUAUUCUUAUAUAUAUGAUACAUGUAAUUAUAAAUUAAAAGAAAAACACAAACACGUCUGUAUGAAAUAUAUUUUCCAAACAAUCAGUAAGUGCAUAUAUUGAAUUAAAUUAAAUUAUAAAAACUGAGAAGUGAGAACACGAGAACUAUGAAUUAUUUAUGUUAGUUUCAUUUGAUAUGUAGAUCUGGCAUCUGACCCGUGGCAAGGCAGACGCCAUAAAACCUUUGGGCAUUAUCUCACGUUGACAGACCUACAUUUGAAUUUGAUUUUAUGUUUCAGGCCUGUUUUUUCCAAUCUCAAUGGGCUCAUCUACUACCAUAUUGAUCCAUUGGAUAUGGAUGAAUCGUAUAAUAUUUUCAAACCUUAAUGGCUAACAUAACAUAAAGCUAAUGUAGUUAAGACCCAUACAAUUUUAGGAAAAUAUAACAUAGAGCUACAACAUCGUCUUUAUUUGAGCUGAAGAAGUUGGCGGAUACGGCUUUACACUUUUUACAAGUUCGCAGGGAUUAGGGGAUGCGUAGCUAUAUUAGUGAAGUCACUCCAAUAAAAGAAAGAGACCGGCCAUGAAAACAGCAUAUAAUUGAGUGUUAUGGAUUAGACACCCGAAAAAAUUGUACAAAAAAUGAAAUAUUAGACCUUAAGAAGCAAGAACCAAGGAGCAACUAUAGACGUGAUUACUUGUCCCUUUUCUUAUGCCAAUUAUCUGGUUAUUGAUGAUUUGACUAUCUGGUCUAGCUAAAUUGCUCAUGUUUAAUGUAAUGUCAUCAAAAGCUUAAAUGGAGAUCUAAAUUCUUAUAGUAGUGAAAAAUCAUGACAAUCGUAUUAAAAAAGCGCACUACGAAAUUACAAAAAAAAUGAAAAACUAACUUGAUUCAAAGUCAAAAUUUGUGUGCAGAGAUAAAAAUGAGAAAGAAAAAAAAAUACAAAUGUAGUAUAUAGCCAUCCAAAAGAAAAGUCGGAAAGAAAAGACUCAAAUUCAGACAACGGAUAGUUGAAAAGAAGUCUAAUCAAGCUCAUAUGAUCUCGAAUCCGAAGAGAAUAUGGGCUUAGAUCUGAUAUUUCUUGAUUAAAAAGAAAAACCAUUUAUGUUGGAAAGAAAAUAAAAACCAGGAAUAAUAUGUCAAUGCUAAAUAUCACCGUGAACAAAAUAUUUUAUACGAAAGAUUUUAAGAAUUAAGUCUAAAAUUAUACUUAAGAUUAGCCUUAUUAGCCUAAUGAGUCACUUCCCUCUACUGGAUAUGACUGGUGGUCUUCAUGACUCACUUCUCCAUUUGGUUCAACCAAACAAAACGCAAAAAUCUAUUAAAAAAAAAAAGAAAAUAUCAACAAGAUUUUCCGGAAACCCCUAAAAGUCCGCCAUUGAUGCCGGAUGCGUACAGCACUCUCUCUCUAUUCCUAUUUCUUCUAGGGUUGGUAUCUGUCGCUCAAAGCCACACUCUCUCUCUUUCUCUAGGGCUCUUAAUUAGUUGGGUUUGAAAAAAAAGGACAAUGUCGGGCUAAUUAAUUUUACAGUUUCUGGGUCUCAUUCUCUAUAUAUCUGUCUGGAUCUGUAUCUCUAACAAGUACAUUUGUGGUCGGAUUCUUUUGGUUCUUGUAAUAACAGUCAAAGUUCUGGUUUCUCACUACCCAGAUCUAGGGCUUCUUUCUUUUUUUGCUUUGUUUCUGGUAACUGAUCAGAUCUUAGGGUUUUUGUUUCCUUCAUCAUUUUUUUAUUCUCUUCUAAUAUUUUUGCCUCCAUCAUUAGGGUUUUAUUACAGCUUCUUCUUUGUUAAAGGGUAUUUUUUUUUUUCUUUGAGAAAGGGUUUUAAAGGGUAUUAUUACAGCUCCGACUAAAUACACUUUAUUUUUUAAUGUUAAUACGCGAUUAAUAAACUGAUCUCGCUCAUGCUUGGAACUGAGAAAAAUAAAAUCUUGCAGAUCUAUUUGGUUCUUGUUUUGCCUCUGAGCAUAUGUCUUUCUUGAAGGAAAUUAAUCUUCUUUUAGUUGUUCCAAAUCGAGCAUUUGUCCAUUUUGGCUUUUUCAUUCUCUAAAGAUAUGAAUUAAUUUAACUUUUUUAAUUUGGGUUUUUAGUUAUUGGCACUUUUCUUUUUCAUUCUCACAAUUACUCUUUGAGGCGUAUUGUUAUCUACAUCUUGACAAAUAUAGGCAUGGGGCCACUUUAUUUAUAUACUUCAACCUUUUGUUGUUCUUCCCAAACAGUCGAUUUUCUUUUUCUUUUUACAUUUUCUCUUAUGCCAUUUUUUUUUCCUUGAGAAUAUAUGGUUUAGGAAGUAGAAAUCCUCUGAAUUUACUUCCCAUUAUUUUAUCAUUUUUUUUUUCAUCCUUGCUAGUGCUUUGCUUAUUUAGAAAAAGAAUUGUACUAUAUUCACCAGGCAUUCAAAAUUUAACGCAAAAUACUUUUGAUGAAAUUAUACUUUACAUUUUUUUUUUGUGAUUGACUAGAGUCUAAACAUCUGCAUUCUUGUUGAGCUUUUCUGUUUGGCAUUACACUUCACAUUAUUAUAGAGAUAUAUGUAGACACAUCUUUUCGUCGACUAGCAAGUUGAUAUAAUAUAAACAUAAGCAUAUGUUUUUGUCGAUUAGUUUAUGUAAUUAUAAACAAAUAAGAUAGUAUGUUUUAGCGCAUAAGUAAUGUUCCUUUGUUUUUCUUGGUGUACUUAUUCGUUUUUAUCCUUUUGUCAACUGUCUUUUUUACUCAUUUAUCCUACUUUUGUCGUUUCACAAAAUUUCAUUUUAAUCAUUUUGAUAUAUUAUCAUAGUCCUUUCUGUAAAUUGACAUUUUGUCUUUGGGACUUGUUUGAAAAUUUUAAUCUGUUCCCUAUUGUAGUCUCUUCUUCCAUUUUACAAUUAUCUAGAAACAAAAUACAAUUAAAGCAAACUUGACAUUCCAAAGAAAACAGAAAAUCUCUUACCCCAUAUUGUCUUUUAUGUUUGGCAGUAGCUAUAUACUUAACAUGUGAGUCUGUGAGUUUGUUAGUAAUUACCAACUAUGAGACAUGAGUCGUUGAGAACUGAAUCAAUUUCAAAUAAAAUCAAGAGAAAGUAAAUAUUUUAAUAAAAAUUACGAUUCACGACAUGUUUGAAAUGACUCAAGGUUUGACAGCUAAUCAUAAAUUCAUCUGCAAGUGGAACCGAAUCAAAGUGAUCGACUUCUUGUUGAUGCUACCAGAAUGGCGAUGUAAUUGUUAUUAUAUUAGAACAAGCUUAUUGUUAUUAUAUAUAAUAAUAUUUCUUUUUGUUUUACAUAUGUAUAAUUUAUUAUGUUGGUCAAAAGAACAAUGUGAACAUCAUGUUCAUAAUCGUCCUUUUGGAUUUUUUUUUUCUCUGUACAUCCAUCCAAAAGUAUACUCUAUAGAAUUCGAUAAAAUUUUAAUAUUUUUUCUCUGUAUAGUUCUAUCCAAAAGUAUACUCUAUAGAAUUCGAUGAAAUUUUAAAUAUAUAUGAUCUGUACGGAAUUCUAGUUUGGAUACAUAAUAUAUCCUUUUAAGUCUGAAUUGAGUAAGCUAACUCUCCUAAUAAUUCGGUUUAUUGUAAAAGAAGUAAACUUACUACAUGUACUCCCAAAACAUUUGUUUAUCUGGGCAGAUGUUACAGAUACUAUAUAUCAUUUGUUAAAGACAAAGCAAAUAGCAUCACAUCAUUUGAAUAGAAAACUUAUUAAAAAGUGAUAACGUCUCUGAUUUAUCACAAGUUCACUAGCCAUUUCAUUAGUUGUUGCACUUAAGUUGAUAAACUUGAAAGGGUUUGAAAUUCUUGAUUGUGGCUUGGUCGACUAGCUACUAGAACUGACGUCCAGGACUCAUAACAGAGAAUCAGUAGAGAGUGAAAAAAUGAAAUCAUGAAUUCUAACUUAUAUUUUUUUUGUUCUCAUCAAUUUGUCAUUCUUUGUUCUUAUAAUUUUCGAAUUCCGAAAGGCAGACGAAAACUCAGAAACAUAGCAAACGAUUAUAUUAAAAAAAAUGCGUUUAAAUGCUAUACCUGUACAUAUAAUAGUUAAGGUUCCACUCGAAGUCGCGAACUAUAAAAACAAAAGGCAUUCACAUUUUACAUUGUUUUGAUAUGUGACACUAAAAUGAAGAAGAAAACGGCAGUGAUUAUUUUACAUCCAUGUAAUAUGUGACGCUAAGAAGAAAAAGGCUUCAUAUAAACUUAAAAUUCACAUAUCUCUCUCAUAAAUUAUUAUUAGUUUAAUUUGAGAAGUUACGAUAAGUCGAUAUCAACACAUAUUAUGGUAGUUGUACAUGAGGUCUCUUGGUUUCCCGAAGAAGUGACGAAGAUCCGUUAACUGCUCCUGCUGCUGCAAGGUACAUAACCAAACAAAUCAAUCGAUGAAAUUUGGCAAUAUCAUACAUGAUAUAAGUCAAUUAAAAAAAAAAAUGGCGCUUUGAAUCUUAGUUUGAUGUGGAACUAUAUGAUCAUUAUAAAUAACUCCUAAUCUAUAUAUAACAUUAAUGAAUUGGUGUUCGUACAUAUUGCUAUAUUAGAUUUCAGAUAGCCUAUAUAUAUAAAACUUAAUAAUAUACUAGAAGAAAAGAAAAAACUCUAUAAAACUAAUAAAUUUGAGUCGUAGAUAUAGAAUAUAAGGUACCUCUAUGGAAGUAGCCGCGCCUUGGCUGCGAUGGUGAUUAAGCAUUGGAAAUGAUGAAUUCAAUUUGUUGAUCAUAUCAUACGCUUCGUCCGAAAUGUGAUCUUUCUUAUUCAGUAAAAACUCAUUGCGAACUGCAAAACGAUCGUUAUUGCAAAGUUCUUCCAUCUCUUCCUCGCAGGUCGUGGCCUGAUCAAAAGAACUCCAAUUCACAUCGCUUUUAUUAUUCUCACCAUAUUGAUUAGGAGCUUCUUCUUGUACAACAUUUACUUGUAAUCUUCUCUUCAUCAUCUUCUCUUUUGUUCUUUCCUUUGCUCUCUCUCUUGCUUUAGCUCUCGAAUCCUUAGACAACUUCUUCAAGAUGGUCGUUCGAGGUUGCGACAUCUUUCUCUUCCCUCUCAUCGAUCUCUUGUUGCCUUGUGUUUCUAAUGCAAACCGAACUUAUAUAACUUUUUUAUAGAAAAUUGAAACUGUAUAAUUUGUAAAACAGUACCAACGGUUAAAGUACGUACCGGUCGUGUUAGUAUUGCUGCCUCUAUCAUCGACUGUCCACAUGGAUGCAAGUUCGCAUAGAUCAGAGGAUGUGUCCAUUGAUCCUAACGCCGGUUCUUGAUUAAAUGUUACAAUUUCAGAUUAAGCGUGAAGAUCAAUAUUUUCAUAAAUGAUGGAAAUUUUAAUUAAUUACUAGACUUCAAAUUAGAAAAGAAUGAAUGUAUACUUACGGGUUUGAGACUCCUCGCCGCUGCUGAAGCCGCCGUGGUUAGAAAGGCUUUUGGCGAUCUUUAUGAUCUCAGGUUUGGCUUGUGUGAGCAACCACUCCACGGUUUUGCUGGCUUUGUCGAAGCCAAGCAUGUCUUGUAACCCGAACAAUUCUUUGGCAACCUCUAAUGAGAGUCUCAUCCUACGAUCUCGUGUCCCUUUCGCCGUUUUGAUCUUGCUAUGCCUGUCCUUUCUGCUUGGUCUCUUGAGUCUUUUCAUUUCAGGGUCUUGAGAAGUUGAGAAUCUCUGGCAAUCUUCUAUGUGGGUUAUGGUUUCAGAAGGCUCAACGAGUUGAGAUUCUCCAGUAGGAUUGUUCAAGGGAAGAAGUGAUGGAUGAUGAUGAUGAUGGUCAGUGGUGGUGAUGGUUUGGUUAUCAUAAUGGCCAUUGUUUUGUGGGAGGAAAGAGGCGAGGAGGGUGAAAUCCGGGACGAAUUCGAAUUGAGAAAAAGGAGAGCUAGUUGCUUGUAGGAACUGAUGAUGAGGAUGAUGAUGGUCAAGAUGAUUGUUUGGUGUGUUGAAGUUGGAGUGAAUCAAGAUGUCGUUAAUGGAAGAGGAAGGGCUAAAAGGGAGUAUGGGCUGUGAGGAAUAAUGGUCAUUAUAAGGGAAUAACAUGUAGUCUUCAUUGUUGGUGGAAGUAGUACUGAAAGUGUUGUUGUUCAUGUCUUUUUAGAGGGUUUUCAAGCAACAAAUUAAAUUAAAAACCCCUAAAACAAACUUUUGAGAAUGACACUUGUACCAAAAUCUACUUCAAACGCACCAAAAAGAGAAGAAAAUGAGAGAAAGCAAAAACUCAAAGAGAAGAUUACUGUUCCAGUGACGAAGACAAUCAAAAUUACCUGCAAAAAUCAAGAAAAAUGAAAGAAAGAACAGUAAUAGUGAUUAGUCAAAUAUUACAAUAUGUCUUUGUUCAAGAGAAUCUAUGUUUGUGUCAUCUAAAUGUGUAGAGAGAGAGAGAGAGAGUACCUUUAUUGAAGUAAAGGACUAUGGCUGAGAAAGACAACACAGGCAAUGUACUUAAAUGAGUCUAUGUGCUAUGAAUUAGAAUGGAGAGAGACAGAGAGAGAGAGAGAAACCUAUAGAGAGAGGCAGAGAGAUAUCAUCAUGGGGGAAGGAACAACAUCCAUUCGGAGGAGGGUACGCUUUUGAGGAGGAAAUUAUUUCUUUAAUUUUUACUGAAAAAAAUAUAUUCGUUUUGUUUUUGUGAAAAUGUGAUAAGUUUCUGUUUUAUUUGGGGUUGUAAGGAUUGUUUUAAUAACUAUAGAACCAUGUCUUUCAUGUUCUUAGAUUUCUCUGAGAUAUUUCAGUAUAACAAAUUAGAUAAGAGAUCACAUCAAGUCUUUGCUAGAUAUAAAACUGUUGACAGCUAUCAACAAAUUAAUGAUUAUAUAAUCUUUAGAAUUUAUUGUAUGAUUUAAGAUAUGCCUAACAAUAGUUAGUUCAAAUAAAAUAUUUCACUAUGGAGCUGUUCAUCAUAGAUAUAUAUUUAUUAAAUUUAGAUUUUGGUACAACAAUAAUAAAAUUUAAUGAAUUUCAUAGGAUAUUUUACAUUUUGGGCUAGUUCUGUUUGUUGACACAUAUAUUGACACAUUUAUGUUUAUAUAUCUAAUGAUUAUAUAAAGAUUUCGCUUUAAAUGAAAUGCUCUUUGUUUACUAACCAAAUAGACAUGUAAAGUUUAGUUAGAUAAGUUCUAUCAAUUUAGUUAUAUCAUUUCACAUAUUUAAGUAAACAAAGAGAAGGAUGUAAUAAAAUGACAAAAUGGAAGGCAGUGAUAUAAUAUAUAUCUAGUUUCAAUGAAAAUGACAACUAAUAAAAAAUAGAUAGAAUGUUGCAUAUUAAAAAGAUCAAAAUUAGAAAAGUUGGAUACGAAAUAAAAAGAAAUAAAGAAAAUUUCUCAAUUAUGCAAAAAAUAGCUACCAUAAAUUCUUUUAUAUAAAUUCCUUUAUAUGGAAAAGGAUUUAAGGAGAAAUGGAAAAAAAUUUAGAUUUAUUUUUAAGGAAAGUAACAUUUUAAAUGUUUGCAAUUUUGCAUUUCCAACAUCAGAUACAGUUGUUGAAAUUUGUAAUUAACCAAAUAUUUUAAAUGAAUUAAGUUUUGUUAAAUUUUAGGUGAUUUUAGUUAGUAUAAUUUUUUUUUAGGUGAUUUUAGAUUUAUUUUUAAAGAAAGUAACAUUUUAAAUGUUUGCAAUUUUGCAUUUCCAACAUCAGAUACAGUUGUUGAAAUUUGUAAUUAACCAAAUAUUUUAAAUGAAUUAAGUUUUAAUAAAUUUUAGGUGAUUUUAGUUAGUAUAAUUUAUGAGAGUUUUUAUAAUUUGCUAUUUUGAAAUCUUAUUUUUGUCCAUUUUUUUUUUGAAAUAGCACUUAAAACCAUGAAAAUUUUGUAUCUUAUAUAUAUACUUAACAAUGGUGAAGUACAAAAUCACAUGUUAGAGUGACAUUUGAGAAUGGCCAUACAUACGUUUUAAUUUUGUAUCUUAAGAUAAAACGGGUCUUGAUAUAAAACCUCUUCGUUAUAAAAAAACUUAAAAUCUUAUAAAACAUUUCUGCAAUCAUUACAAGUAGUAAUACCUUAGAUAUUUCUAAUAACAAUAGAGUAUUUGAAGAUGUUCAAAUCUUCAAAUUACCAGUGAAACAGCCUUGAAUACAAAAAAAUUACAAAUAUGAAAACCAAUAAUACUGGAUUAUAUAAAUUUUCAAAAUUUAUGAUUGAAUAGCAUAAGAUUUUUUUUUUAACAUGAUUCCAAUUUGCAAAUGCCUGAUACUCAUAUAACACCCACCCUAAGAAAUUAUCUUUAAUUCCAUGUGGUAAUUCUAGAAUCAUUCUAAACGAAUGGUUAAUUAAGCGACAUCAUAUUUUAUAAAGUUGAGUAAUCAAAACUAGAAUAUAAAAUUCCGGUAGUUUUUGAAACAGGGGUCCCCUUUUGCUUACGUCGACUUACUACUGGCGAUCCAAUUGAGUUCAAAUAGCAAAAAUGACGAAAGCAUUGAUUUUUUUUUAAUAAAAAAAAACUAUUCAUUUGUUUUGACGUAGCAUUGGAAUUACUUUUGCAAGUAAUCCGCUAACGUCUAUCUCUACCUAUGAAAAUUUAGAAUCACUCCUCAAAACGAUAAAAUAAAUAAAAAUUUAUGGCUUGCAUCACGAAACCCGUCUAUUCUAAAACAUUAAUUUUCAUUAUGAAGAAAAUAUGAAGUAAAUUGUUAUAGAAGGUUAGUUAGUAAUUAUGACAUUGUUCCAAUUGGAGAUUUGGAUUAUAAAAUUUCAUUAUCAAAUUGGAGGGUCACACGUGGCAUUGUGAAACCCUAAUUAAGAAAAGGAAGGUGCAAUAAUUUUAGGAAGAAAAGGAAAGAGGUUUAGCUCACUGUUCACUGUUCAGUAUGCAAUGAGCGACCAAUCUUUUAUUUUCUUUUGACUCUCACACACACACUCUCUCUCUCGUCUCUCACAUACAUAUGUUACAUGUCGUUUUCGCUAAAAAGAGAACUUCUUUCUCUCUCGUGCUUAUCUUGUAAGCUUUUGUAUCACUAUUUUCUCUUAUUUUUUCCACGUUGAACUAAGAAAAACAUAUGCUUGAAAUAUCUUAUCUAUACAGAAAAGAGAAUACUAUACUAAAAGAAGAUAAUGUGUCAUUCCAACAUUUAAAGUUGAGUUAUAUGGUGCAUUGUGAUGUGUUAAUUAUUAAGUUUUCUGUUUUGAUCAUUAUAACACAUAAAUUAUUUAUAUUAAACUGAUAUUAUGAUACGAUUCAUUAAUACAAACCACUAAAUUUAUUUGAAUGAUUAAUCUGUUAAAACAAAAUUGAACUUUCAAAAGAAUAUGCCUUGUCUAACGGAGUGGUCACUGAUCACAAUAUGUAGAAAAUUAAAGGAGUGAACACACACACAAAAAAGGGAUUGUAAGAAAGUUUGAGGUUGACAAUGAAAACAAACUACUAAGUUAUAUGUUCUUGUUAAUGUAUGAAAUUAAAGCAGAACACAAUAGUUGAAAAAGUACUACACUACACAAAUAUAUACGCAAAAAAUAUAUAUAUACAAAGGUAAAAUAGAUAAAGAAUACAUGUACAUAUAUGAUAUAUGCACGUACAUACGUAUAUACAGACAAAGUACAAAGUUAGGAGUUCCGUGGAAAGAUGAAACUCUCUCAUUGUAAAUAAAAUCUCCUAUUUUGGUCAUCCAUUGUUAUCCACUCUUUCCAUUUAUACAUGCCGUCUUCUCCACCUAAUUUAUCGAGCAUCCCAUGCUCUCUCUUCUUUCUCUCUCUUCUCUUUCUCUUUCUCUCUCUCUCUCUCUAGGCCUGCCAUUAUCAGGAGGACCACAUGACUAUAAUGGAAGGACUCGCUGGCUUCUUCUGAGGUUGCUUUCAAUUUUUCUUUCUCAUAACCCAUGAAGAAGACAGCAACAAUUAUCAUAUCCCCAUUUUGGGUUUUUUUCUGCGUGAAUCAUUUUAAGUUGUUUAUAGUGAGACUUGAAUUAAAGUUUCAUCUUUGGUUAGUCAUUGAAUCCUUUUCUUCUUACAAAAGUGGGCAUUGAUUUUGCUUUUCCCCUGAGUGCUUUCAUUAUGUGUUAUAUUAUCUACUUCUGUUCCCAAUUUCGUUGGUUACAAUCUCAUCAGUCACUCAUUAUCAUUCUCAAAGUAGAAAAUUUCAACUUUAUUUUUCUAUAUUUUACUUUCGCAUGUUGUGAUGCGUUUGUCAUCUUUUUUGUUUUCUCUGGUUCUUAGGUUGAUGCCGAAUCAUUUUCUAUUUAUAGCAAAGAGAGUCAAUGCUCUUUUAGAUUACCGUUCAUUUGCGCAAUUUCCUUUCAUGGAAAUAUGUUCUGGAAAAUAAUGUGUGUUUGUCUCCACUUUUCUUCAUGGGAAAACUCAAUAUUGACUUCUUCUUCCUUCCAUUUUACUAAACUUAUUUUUGUUUCUGGAGAAUAAUUACUGACAUUAUAGAAAUGAAAUUUGAAUAUUCUUGUUUUGAAAUGAAAAACAAAAAAAAAAUUAUAAGAAAAUUAAAUAAUGACAACCUCAAUAUUUUGUGCAUAAUGAGGUACUAGAAGUUCGAAUUUCAUCACAGAAUUUCUGAAUAAAUCUUCACUAGAACUUUGUUUAAAAUUAGUCACAAAUUUCAAGGACACAACUUAAUAAAUAAUUCUAAAACCGAACCAUUUUAUUCAAAGAUUUUAUAACUAAUCUAUAUAUAUAAAGAUAGCUUUUUUCUUUUCUGGUGCUGCCACCUCAGCAGCCACCUCAGCAGCCACCUGUACAAUUAUUAUUUUUUAAAACUUUUGUUUUGUCUGAUUUCUCUAAUUACGGCAAAUGAUGAGACACUUUUAAAUAAAUCAAAUAUCACACUACCAUAAAUUAAAAUUAAACAAAAUCAUAUGAAUGGCAACAAUCACGGAAUCACCAUCAAAAGGGAAUUGCAUAAAUAGAUUUUUCGACGAAAGUGAUAUUUUCCAGAAAAAAAACUCAACUCAGCUCAGCUUAACCAUAAACGCUGGAUUUUAUACCAAUCCCAAAAAUGAUCCAUGAAAUCCACGCCAAAUUGGAGUCACCAAUGGCACACCCAAAAAACCAAUUCCAAAGCUGAGAAACCGAUCAGCUCCCCAAUAUGAUGACAAAUAGAGGUAUAUCUAAGAAAUCAUAGGGAGGGGUUAGACCGGCACCGAUUCUGGAAAAAAACACCGCAAGAGUGGAGGAUACCGAAAUUAAACGUCACUGAAUCACCCAAGGAAGAAAGAGAAGGAGGAUGAAAAAAAUGACUCAAUUAGAGACCAAAGGAAUGGGUAUGAACAAAAGGUUGGUCCGACCAAAAUUUCAAUCACCCUCUUUCAAUGGAAGCACCCUCUAUCAUUAAACCAAAAUUCCAACAAUAGAAGGGUUUUGCCAACAUUUAAGAGAGCUAUCGAUUAAUACCUACAAUUAUGAAGGGCUAAAAACGGACACGGCUUUGUAUAAUCAAAAUGAGAUUUCAUAAACAUCGAACGAACAAAAAAAUAUAGCAGAAAAAUAAGCCAAUAUAAAAUAAUACAAAAAAUUACAGACUAAAAAAAAAACUUUCACACUAACCAUCCAAACCCGAUUUCAAUAUAGACAUAUUGUACUUCCACUGACUCAAAGCCUUAUACAAAAUAUACUAACGGAGAAAGUGCUUUCACAAUUACAAAUUAAAAAAACAAAGAAACAAAUACUUCAGAAACAAAAAUAAAUUAACAAGAAUAAACAUAGCACAUCCAUAAUAUAAACCAAAAAAUUAUUAAAAAAAAACUCCCAAAUAACACCUUCUAUAAGAGACAUAAGUUCUCUAGAUAUAAAACUAUAAAAACGGGAAAAAACACGUAUAUAAUAUAAUAGAAAAUGGUAAACGCCUGCGCGUAGCGCGGAUCGUAUAUAUAUAAAACUGGUUCCUUCGAGUUAGUCUGAACUUACUAUUUCGGUUUAUUAUAAGAUCUUUCUUCUUAAUUUUUUUGGUUAAAUAUCGGUUCAAAAGAUUUGAUUACAAAUAUAAUUUACUCAUUUAGUUUACAGGAAUAAAGAGAACGGAUUUUCUCUCAAAUAUUUGAAUUUUAAUGAGAAUCGAACACAUUGUCGCGGCAAACUUAAUGGGAGAGGAAUAAGUUGAUGUAGAGCUUCUUCGAGGUUUAGGGAUAGCGAAAAGAUAGAAAUAUAGCCUAGUUCAUGCUUUCACGCUUAAGUUAUGGAGAUUUGACAACACCAAAGUUUCAUCUAAUACUAAAUAAUCUAGAGACCCCAUAUAUAUUGAUCAGAAUCGUAAGAGAUCAAUGAAAAAAGAUAUUAUUUAAUUAGAAGCAAAUUUGUAACUGUAAGUUUUAAUGUCGUAAAUGUGAAAAAAGUAUAUUAGUUUUUUUUUUAAUUGUGUUUUGUUCAAAAUAACUCGAACUGAACCCACUCCAUGCAGUAGGAAAUGUUAUAGAAUAAAAGUAAUUUAGAAACUAUACUACUUGAUUACUAAACUUCAAUCACACUCAAAUUAAUAAUAUGGCCAAUUUGCUUACUUUGUUUUUGCACCAUGCUUCACAUCUAAAUUUGGUGAAUGAUGUAACAGCCUGUUUACAUACAAACAUACAUCUUUAUUUAUGUGUCAUGUAUAUAUAUAUAUAUAUAUAUAUAUAUAUUAUCAUAAGAAGUCAUGUCUUGAUAUACUUAGCAAAAAAAAAAAGUCAUGUCUUGAUAUGGACCAUAUGGUGUAUAUAAAGUGUGAUUUUAUUUAGUCUUACGAAUAAUCUACUUAUAUAUGAUAAAUUAUCUUUUAAUGAUUAGAAGUUUUAGCCCGAAAUCUAUUAUAGUCCUUCAACCCCGGGAUAAAAGCAUAUUAUAUGGUGUUGUUUAGUUUUAUCUAUACCGUGGUAAAAAAAUAUUACUUAGCGUUUCCUUAUAAAUAAAUAUUUAGAUAACAAAAUCUAAACCAGAUGUUAAAAACAAAAAAUCGAAACCGGAUAGACAUAUACAUUAUAUAUAGUUUAACCUUGAAAAUGAUUUUGGUUGGUGGGUUUGAUAAUUAUCAAACGUGUUCUACUUGGAACUUAGUGUUCUUAAAAGUUUGAUGUCACACAAUGUCGAAGUGGGAAAAGACAUAAGGAAAUAUAUAUAUAUAUAUAUAUAUAUAUUUCAGUGUGUGUAUCAGUGUAUGUGUGUGCGUGUGUAUGAUUAUAUGAACAGAGAUAAGUUUGUACAUGUGUUAUAUCAUGGUUUAGUUAGGUUGGCAGUACUCUAUAAAGUUUUUGAUAUAUCAUCAUGACAAGAAUUGAGGACACUUAAACAAUAUGCGAUGAUAAUAUCCUGUCAAUAACAUAUUCCCAAAUUUAUAAAAAUAAAUAACAUAAUAUUUACGUUAAUUUCCGAUACUCAUUUUCUUGACUUCAACUAUAUGAAAAAAAGAGUUAAAAUUGUCAACAUAGGGUUUUGAUUACUGAAAUUCUUACGAUCUAAACAACCUUUCUUUUUUAAAAAAAAAAAAUAUUAUAAUCAUUUUAUAUUAAAUGUACUUUACUCCGUGUAUUUUGAGGAUAUGAUAAACAAAAAAAAAUUGUUUUGUACAAACUUAUACCUGAUGCAUUUUUCUUUCAAUAUCAUUAAUAAUCUUCUCUUCCAAAGAAGAAUAAAAAAAAAUUUCAUAAAGAAAAUGACAUCCAUGAAAGAUCAAAUAUGAUCAAAGAUCAUUAAGAGAAUAUUUCAAAUUAAAAUAAAGAAUGCAACUCAAGAUAAAUAAGGAAUCAACAGAGAAAGAAAAAAGGGCGAAUAUACCUGACUAUUUGGAACCAUAAAUGACAUAAAGAUAAGUUCAUAUGACUUUUGUGGCUCAUCAAAGGCCAUCAUCGUCCUCUAUAGCAAUAUAGUGCUUUCUAGUACAAACCUUCCACUUCCCUUUGUCCCAAGUUUUCCAAAGUAACUUAUCAUUUACAUAUUAUUACAUAUAUUAAAUCUAUAUGUAUAAUAAUAUGCGAAUAUCUUAUUACCUACCAUUGUCCAAUUUUAUUUUUAGUUAAUCAUGUUUCUACAAAGAACCAAGUUUUUUCGUGUUUCUUUUUUUCUGUUUCUCUGUGGAAUCGUGAUUUUGGUAGUAAAAUCAUUAUAGAUAGGUGUUUGUUAGCCCAGUAAUCUCAAUAUGGGCCCAUAAUGGGCCUUUGUCUUUGAAGGACCAACAUCGAAAUAGUCACGCGUGGCUUAUAGAACGUUGAUCCACGCGCCGCCGGUAAGGAAAACUUGCCGCCACUCCCUUUCCCGCCAAUUUCGACACCAUAAUCUGCCUCGAAAACUUCCAGUCGCUUUCUAUUCCAUUUGGUUAGGAAAAACGCCGCCGCGAAAGGAAUAUUUGCAGAACAGUAGCCGAAGGGUUUCCGCUUUAUCUAUCUGCCAAUGGAGGGCAAUUUCGAGGAGCAGAACAAGCUUCCGGAGCUUAAAUUAGGUAAUGCAAAACCCUAGUUUUUUCUUUUUUUUUUUUUUAUAUCGUGUUUGAUUUUUCAUAUGGUUUAUGGGUUUUGAAAAAGGUCUGAUAUUGGUUGCGUUGUGAAAUUUUUGAAUUUUUGGUAGAUGCUAAGCAGGCUCAAGGGUUUCUCUCGUUCUUCAAAACUCUACCAACUGUAAGUCUCGUUUUUUUUUAGUUGUUGUUUCUUUCUAUUUCUGGGAAAAUUACAGAUUGAGUCCAUAACCGUAGUAAAUCCCGCCGAUUUAAGUGGGAAAUGAGAUGCUUUAAGAUAAGGGAUUAAGCAAAUAUAUGCGUUUGUUCAUUAUUAGCGAUUUCUCGAUUUAUUCUUAUAUUGCUUUUGAUUGUUCUUUGCUUUCAGGACUCGAGAGCUGUUAGGUUCUUUGAUCGCAAGGUGAGUUCUGAAUGUCCAACUUUUGUUAGUUUUCACUGGUCUGGGUUUUGGUUGUUUAAUCAAAUGUACAUGAACCUUUGGUUUCUGUAUUAAAGAAUCUUCUUCUGUCGUUGAUUUAUUGGAAAAAUAUCAAAUUCUUUUGCAGGGCUAUUAUACAGCUCAUGGAGAAAACUCAAUCUUCAUUGCAAAGACUUACUAUCAUACAACUACUGCUCUACGUCAGCUCGGGAGUGGAUCAAAUGCUCUUUCAAGCGUUAGCAUCAGUAAGAACAUGUUUGAAACGAUUGCUCGGGAUCUUCUCCUGGAGCGAAAUGAUCAUACCUUAGAGCUUUACGAGGGAAGUGGAUCGAAUUGGAGACUUGUGAAAACAGGUUCUCCUGGAAACAUUGGGAGCUUUGAAGAUGUUUUGUUUGCAAACAACGAAAUGCAGGACACGCCCGUUGUUGUCUCCUUGUUUCCAAAUUUUCAGGAGAGCAGAUGCGUUAUCGGGAUGGCUUAUGUUGAUCUAACCAGGCGGAUUCUUGGACUAGCUGAGUUUCUUGAUGAUAGCCGCUUCACCAACCUGGAGUCUUCUCUGGUUGCCAUUGGCGCAAAAGAAUGCAUUUUUCCAGCUGAUUCCGGCAAAUCCAGUGAAUGCAAAAGCCUGUAUGAGUCUCUGGAGAGGUGUUCUGUGAUGAUAACAGAGAGGAAGAGACAAGAGUUCAAAGGACGAGAUUUAGAUUCAGAUCUAAAGAGAUUGGUGAAGGGGAAUGUUGAACCUGUUAGAGAUUUGAUAUCCGGGUUUGAGCUUGCGACUCCUGCUCUAGGUGCAUUACUCUCGUUCUCUGAACUUCUUUCGGAUGAGGGUAACUAUGGAAACUUCUCAAUCCGCAGAUAUGAUAUCGGCGGAUUCAUGAGACUCGACGCUGCAGCUAUGAGGGCGUUGAAUGUGAUGGAGAGCAAAACUGAUGCUAAUAAGAAUUUCAGUUUGUUUGGUCUCAUGAACAGAACAUGCACCGCAGGGAUGGGUAAGAGACUGCUUCACAUGUGGCUAAAGCAACCUCUCGUGGAUUUGAAUGAGAUUCAGAUGAGAUUAGAUAUAGUUCAGUGCUUUGUUGAAGAAGCUGGGUUAAGGCAAGAUCUUAGACAGCAUCUGAAGCGAAUCUCAGAUGUUGAAAGACUUGUGCGGAGUCUCGAAAGAAGAAGAGGCGGGUUACAGCAAAUUAUCAAACUCUAUCAAGUACUUUCCGUACUCUAAUCUGAUUCUAUGUACUUAAAGUUUCUGUAGGUAUUUUCUUAAGUUUCUAUGAAUUUCAUUAUUAAUUCAGUUUUCAUCUUCGCUGUGCAGUCAACGAUAAGGCUUCCCUUCAUCAAAACAUCUCUGCAACAGUACACCGGAGAAUUCUCAUCACUCAUCAGCAAGAGAUACAUGAAAAAGCUUGAGGCUUUAACAGACGCAGAUCACCUCGGCAAGUUCAUUGAGCUGGUAGAGUACUCUGUAGAUCUUGACCAGCUAGAAAAUGGAGAAUACAUGAUAUCUUCAAGCUACGACACCACAUUAUCAUCUCUGAAAGACCAGAAAGAAUCGCUGGAGCAGCAGAUUCACGAAUUGCACAAAAAGACGGCUAUGGAACUUGAUCUUCAGGUGGACAAGGCUUUAAAACUUGACAAAGCAGCGCAAUUUGGGCAUGUGUUCAGGAUCACGAAGAAGGAAGAGCCAAAGAUCCGGAAGAAGCUGACGACACAGUUUGUAGUGCUGGAGACUCGCAAGGACGGAGUUAAGUUCACAAACACAAAGCUUAAGAAACUUGGGGACCAGUACCAAAGUGUUGUGGACGAUUACAAGAGCUGUCAAAAGGAGCUCGUUGAUCGUGUAGUUCAGACUGUUGCCAGCUUCUCCGAGGUAUGUUUAGUUAUUCAUAUUAUGUAUUGGACUUACAAAAUUGGUUAUCUUCAAAUAGUAAAAUAUAUUAUAUAUAUAUAUAGAAUUUAUAUGUAUAUUGUAUGGUUUAGGUGUUUGAGGAGUUAGCAGGGUUGCUCUCUGAAAUGGAUGUUUUGUUAAGCUUUGCUGAUUUGGCAGCUAGUUGCCCUACUCCAUACUGUAGGCCAGAAAUCACAUCUUCGGUAAUCUAAUCUCAAGUUGAUUGUUUCGUUUUUUUUUUUUGCAAUUUUAUAUCAUAAUAUGAGAGAAUGCUUUAUAAAUUGCAGGAUAUGGGAGACAUUGUAUUAGAAGGAAGCAGACAUCCAUGCGUAGAAGCUCAAGAUUGGGUGAAUUUUAUACCAAAUGACUGUAGACUUGUAAGUAUUGUGAUGCUAAAAUAAACCAGACAGAGCCUUUGUUAUUCUGUGUUUCCCUAUUGACUUGAAGCAAUUCCUUUUUUCCGCUUUUAUUGUUCUGUAAAAUCAGAUGAGAGGCAAGAGUUGGUUUCAAAUAAUAACAGGGCCUAACAUGGGAGGGAAGUCCACUUUCAUUCGCCAGGUAUGAUGAUUUCUUAUAGUCCCAUUUUGUUGCAUAGGCAUAAGAUUAAAAUCUGUUUCCUGCCAUUGUGAAUUCCAGGUCGGUGUGACCGUACUGAUGGCUCAAGUUGGUUCAUUUGUUCCUUGUGAUAAAGCUUCAAUUUCUAUCAGAGACUGUAUCUUCGCCCGUGUAGGAGCAGGCGAUUGCCAAGUGAGUUUAACUUGCUGCUUCUUUGUUAUUGGACCUUCUGAUUUCUUCAAACUCCAAUCGUUUUCUUCCUUUUGUGUUUUAGCUACGCGGAGUGUCUACUUUUAUGCAAGAAAUGCUUGAAACCGCUUCGAUAUUAAAAGGAGCUACUGAUAAAUCACUGAUAAUAAUCGAUGAACUUGGCCGUGGAACAUCAACCUAUGAUGGUUUUGGUUAGUUUAACUGCAAUGUCUCUUGAUUUAUUUAGAUUUUGAGUGAAUUUGCUAUGAUAUGUUGGUAACAUGAUCUUGGUGACAACAUUAGGUCUCGCAUGGGCUAUAUGUGAGCAUCUGGUUCAAGUGAAGAAAGCCCCUACUCUGUUUGCUACUCACUUCCACGAACUUACUGCUUUGGCUCAAGCAAAUUCUGAGGUCGCAGGUAACACUGCUGGUGUUGCAAACUUCCACGUCAGCGCACACAUUGACGCAGAAAGCCGCAAACUCACCAUGCUGUACAAGGUUGGUUCAAUUAAACCGUAUCUGCUCCAUCCCAAAAAGAAGAUUUCUAUGCGCUGAAUCUUGAAUUUCUCUCUUGCAGCCUCUUUAGUAAAAGCGUCUCUGUUUGAUUUUCUUACAAACAUGAAAUUAGAUUGUUCUGAUGUGAUGUUUGUCUGGUUAGGUUGAACCAGGGGCAUGUGACCAGAGCUUUGGGAUUCAUGUGGCUGAGUUUGCCAACUUCCCUGAAAGCGUAGUGGCACUCGCAAGAGAGAAGGCUGCAGAACUGGAAGACUUCUCUCCGUCUUCCAUGAUUAUCAACAACGAGGUCUGGAUUCGUUUGUCCCAUUUGUAUCUGGUUGGAGUUGGGAAUCUUCCGCAUCUUCUCCAGUUUAAAACAUAUCAACUGGAGACUUUUGACAAGGAUGAAAUUCUUGUCUUGUUGUGUUGCAGGAGAGUGGGAAGAGAAAGAGCAGAGAAGAUGAUCCAGAGGAAGUAUCGAGAGGUGCAGCACGAGCUCACAAGUUUCUGAAAGAAUUUGCAGAGAUGCCACUUGAUAAAAUGGAGCUUAAAGAUUCACUUCAACGCGUACGUGAGAUGAAAGAAGAGCUAGAGAAAGAUGCCGUGGAUUGCCACUGGCUCAAGCGGUUCCUGUGAAACAGCUUUGCAUUUCACUUUGACUUGUUUUUUGAGGGUGUUAUUCCUUUAUGUAGUUAUAUGGGAAUGAUUUCGUAAUCUUUAUAGGAUUUUAGUUAAUCUUUGUAAAUGUGUAUGUUCUCCCUUGGAUUUGAAUAUUUGUCGUAUUUUUAACUUGAAACUCAUUCCACAUCCACAAAAUUCUCUUAUGAAAUCAGAUCCAUAACUAAAUCGUUAACAAGUGAUUUAAAACCAAUGAAUCUUAAACUCUAAAAAUCUUCAUAAAUCAAUGUUUCAAUAACCACCUUGAUCUGAGCCUUGAAUUCAUACGAGCAAAGAGAAAGUUGUACAAAAACUUCUUUCGUCCCCAUUUCCACCAAGUGGGAACCCGAACAAGCUUCUUUUUCACCUGAUUUACUGUAAAACCAGUGAGAUUUUAGUAAAAGAAAGUACAAUGAAGAAUGAUGCACUUUUUUUUUUUUUUUUUUUUUGGUGUGGGAAGGAUCACUUACUUUUGUUUUCGAUCAGACGUGUUUCCCACUCUGAGAGUAAUUUGGAGUAGGCGGUAGCAAGUGAUGGCCAGAACUUCAUUUGAAUAUUCAGUACAUCAAGAACAGUUUGCAGGCCAGCUCUUGAAGGCGCGUUAGCGAUAGGCAAGUCAUUCUCCGGAUUUUCACCCAGAAGCACCUUUAUUAGAUUAAACGGGAUCAUGAAUAAACGUUAAGUCUCCAUAACAAUAUGCAGAUUUUGAAAGAUAUGGAGUUUGAAACAGAGAUUAACCUUGAUCACUGCUGUAGCAGAAGAAGAUAUGGAGCGAAGAUUGUAGCUGCAAAUAAUGACAAACAAAAAAGGCUUUAAAAGCUGUCACUUGAAAACAACACGAGACUAUUGGUAAACUCCAGAAACACGUACCCGCCCUCCAGAAUAACUAGCAUUUUUCCGCCGCAUAGAUCACCUAACAUCUGUGUCAUUCGAGAAUAACCAGCCGGAGUUACCUGAAAGUACGUGCAAACUUGAUCUAUUAAAACCAAUAUUGAAUUGUCAACAGGUUGAACAGAACAUCCUCUAAUGAGGUGCACACGACAAUAUUGAUUCCGAAAGUUGUCAAUUACAGCCCUAGGAAUAUGAAGCUUACAUCACAGCAGCCUAGUGGGUCUCCUCUAGCCGCAUCAAAUCCCGCUGAUACGAUAACAAAAUCAGGAGAAAAUGCAGAAGCUGCAAGGGAAAGGGUUCCAGUUGAAAUCAGACCCAGUACAGAUUGAACGCCAGCUCAAAAGAUCAGUUCACUUGCGAAAGCUUAUUAGUAAUUAGGCCAAAGCCUGGUUUGUCGAAACCAGACAUUUGUAAGGACUAGCGUUGAAACAAACUCAAAAGGGGAAUACAGAACACGACUCUGUACCUAUGGGAAGAACUACAUGCUGAAAGGCAUAGAUGUAGUCUUUAUCACCAACUCCACCGCAGCUCCAUGGAACAUUUACACAAUAACCUUCAGCACCAUUUGUACCAACCUGCACCACAUAAUUAAUAUUAGGGAACUAUAGCUUUUGCUGCAUAGAGAAAAUAAAAAACUGAUUCCGGAAACAAGGUUAAGUAAAUAUAGCUAAUGUAUAUGCAUUUACAACUGCAACUAAAUCUACCAAGGAAUGCUGGAUGAGACUGUAAAACAGAAAAGCAUGGGUACCUCAUCAGCAGCUCCAGUACCGGGAUAGAAGUUUCCUCCUUCAUGUCUGUGCAAGGAAAUGUACAAUACCUAUACAAUUGUUCCCAAUAAUUAGUAUAAAAAAGGUCAAUUCACAAAAAUAAUUUACUGCAUCCAAAACUCCAAGAAUUAAUGAGGACACAUCCAUAGAGUUAGGCAGCUUACAGAUUUGUUUUGCUCGAAUAUCUCUUGGGUUCCAUUUCCAUGAUGAACAUCCUGCAACAAUAAAGAAGAUGAUUAAGAAUUAAGAAGUUUGAAGUUCUACAAAACCACCCAGCAUUGAGAUAUCAGCGACAUUACCCAGUCCACAAUCAGCACCUUCCUUGCCCCUGCUGCUUGUGCUACUAAUGCAGCAACUGCUGCAUUAUUGUGAAGGCAAAACCCCAUAGCAUGUCUAAUGCCAGCAUGAUGACCGGGUGGUCUUACCUGAAACAAUCAGAUAAGCUUCAGCACGGAUAUGGUGUAAUUCCAAUUUCAAGCAGAUCCGUAGUUGCAUCUUUAAAUUUUGAAAUUAUGUGAAUUUGACAUACCAGAGCGAAACCAUUUUUAACGCGCCCAGAGAAAAUUUCUGUAGCUAGAUCAGCGCACAAACCUGCUGCAAGUCUAGCAGCUCGUGCUGAAUACUCAUUAGCAUAUGUGUCGGAAGUGAAGUAGCUGCCAGACAGUGGGACAAAGAUGAGCGGUAAGAGUAAUAACAGACAAAUGAAGAACAGCUUAGGCAAAGGAGACAAACAAAUUAGGUAAGGAAGCACGUUUUGCAUCCUGAACACUGCAAAGUAUCAGAUGGUGGGGAGACAAAAUGGUUUAAAUGCAAACCUAUAGAGAAGCUGGCUUGUAAUAUCAACAGCGUCAACAUGGUCUGAAGUGUGGACCUAAAAAUUGUCAAAUAUAAACCUGUUAACAAAUUGUUUGCAAAAGUAAUGCAAUAAACAAACCACUCGCAGUUAGAGAUGUCUCUAAUAAAAUUAAGUAGCAGCUCACCAUCUGGAGUUCUUGUUUCGUGAUUUCCCUUGCAUGAAUAGGCAAGCAUCUGCCAGGAAAAACGCCUGCAAAUUUUCAAAUGUGGUGAAUACAAAAUCUACUCCCAGGCAGAACGGAAUAUUUUAAUAUGCUUAACGACAAUAAACCAAUAUACCAGCUGUGGCAAGACUAGCAGCUAUAGCUCGAAGACGAUCAGGUCUCUCGGGAUGUGGAUGUGCCUUCACUUCAAACUAAUCAAAGCAUACCAAAAACACAUAUAUAAAUGGAUUACUUGCACGGGGGAAAACUUUGGAGAUAAUAAAGUGUAUUGAUGUCAACAGAUACAUGAAAGGCUUUUUCAGAAGGACCCGGUGUCAUAGUCAUAAUAUAGAUUUCUCAGGAAAAAUAUAAGGGUAACAGGAUCAUACUUCUGAGUGUAGCAACAUUCUCUCGUCGAACCCAACAGCUGUCGAGCUGGUUGCAGAUGAGCUUCCUAAGAUCAAGGGAAAAGAGAAGUGAACAUGCUUAGAUAAUGUGGAACAGAAAAACAGUAUUUCUCAAGGACAUGAGUUCAAAAGAAGCAAAACAAGUAAUUCCUACCUCCACAUUUCUCUUCGACUUCAGUGAGACCAGUGUCUUUGCAAAACGGAGAUGCAAAAUAUCCAUGCCUCAGGAUACCAGAUUCCUUGUGCUCACCACAUAUCUGCAUCAACAUAUAAACUUUACUGAGCAUAUGUCACUUGAGAUCACAUUUAGAGCACAAUUGCAUACAUUGGUAAUACUAAAAGCACCACAUCAGCAGCAAAAGCAACACUAUUCAAAUAUGAAAAAAAAAAGUAAACAAAGACGUACAUAACAAUGAACCAUAUCACCAGGAUUCGCCAUAGUGCAAUUGACGCAACACCAUUUCACAAACUCCACGGGCGUCUGCACAGGUUCCCAAUUACUAUCAUCCUCCUCGUCUUCUUCAUUAAGCAACGUAUCCGCACCGUAAAUAUCUUGAAACGUCAUCUCCCUUGAAACCCUAGCUCUUUUCUGCAUAAGACAUAACAAUGACCGAUAUCACCAAAUGCAGAGCACAAAUAACCGUGGAAAAUGCAAUAAGAGGAAAGCCAUGGUUUUUAGCUUACGGAUGAAUCACCAGGAGCAGCAUUAAUGUCUCCAUUGCUAAACUCAUCUUCCGAACAAGGAACAGCGACAUCACCACCGUUGCCGAGUUUUCUCUUUGAACCCUCACAGGAGCUCUCUAGAGUUUCUACAAUCAUUGUUACCUCACUAGUCACUGAAACUACUGAACCAGCUGGAAAAAAUCUCUCGCGCUGUGCCAAAAUAGAAGUAAAGAAAAAACCCAAUUGAGGAUUUGCAGAACAAAAGGCUUCUCGAGCAUAUAAUUUUUUUCUCGAGUAUUUUGUAAUCGAUCGACGAUCCUGAACUCACGAAUUGCCUUUUCUCUAUGGAAACCAAAAAAAAAAUCAAGCGACGGAGCAAAAACUUACCUGAAGAACUUCUUCCGGCGAAACCUUCCAGGAUAGCGCAAACAGCAGAGAUGGGAAACGACGACGUCGUUUAGAUUACAAAAUUUAAAACAUUAUUUGAGCUGAUUAAGACCCAAUGUGAGUAUAGGCCCAUUACGUCAACUACCCUUUUGUCUCAAGAACUACCCUUUAUUUGAUUUCUAAUUUUCUCCUGUCGGUAUUAGAAAACCUAGCCACUUUGGGCUAUAUAACUUAUAAGAAACACCAACAAAAUUAAUUUUUAGCUUUUUAGCUUUUUCAUGCAUAUUAAUUUUUAUUUUAUUUUUGCAGAGGUAAACACCAACCUCUUUAGCUUUUUCAUGCAUAUUAAUUUUUAUUUUAUUUUUGCAGAGGUAAAUAUAUCCUCUACAAUCCCUUGUUAUUUACUGGUGAUUUGGGAAAAUAAAACUAAAAAGUGAUAUUUGGGAAUGUCGUAUAAAUUAUUAUGAUCACCUAAAAAUUUAUAGUUUCAAGUAGUCAAUUUAGUAUAAGGAAUGCAUAUAUAACUUAAAAAGAAAUCAGAUGUCAAUUUUUUUAUCAUCAAUAUAUACAGUAUAUAUAAUAAUACAGUUCGCAUAAUGUCCCAUGUUUUAUAAAGAAUUAAACCAUCCGUUUACAAGAAAAAUAUUAAGAUGGGGGGGGGGGGGGAAAUAGUAUAUAUCUAUAUAUAGUUGAUAAGAAAAAUAUUGUGGGAGAUAUAUACAUACAACACAGACCUGCGUAAACAUGAGAGAAAAACAACGGGAAAGGUAAUGAUGUAAAUCUGUGAGCAAUUCCUUCUCAUACCUUUAUCAUCAUCUAUAUACAUGCAUAUACAAAUGUGUGUAUUGAUGACAAAAUUACUCGUGCGAACAAAGAAGCAUAGUAAUACAUUUUCCAAUAAUGUAGAACGUUCCUCUCUUCUUUUUUACAAACUCCCCAACUCCUUUUGGUGAAGAAGACUUCUUCUUCUUCUCCCAGUUCUUCACUGCCUCUUCCUUUGACUUCUCCCUCAUUAUUUUUCUCUAUCUCUCUCUCUAUAUAUAUAAGUUUUUGGUUUUUUAAUUAUGAGGUUCAGGUGUAACUUGAUGAUUGUGUGAUAUUUAGGGGGGUUUAAAAGGAAGUGAAGAUUCAUCAUUAUAUGGGAGAGAGAGAGAAAGAACAAAAAAAAAAAGAGAGAUAAGGAGAACUAUUCCCCACCAUUGAUUCGGGACCUUUCAACGAAACAACCCAAAAACAAAUUAAGGCCACUUGGGGAGUGUGACCGACUAGCUUCCCAUUAUGUUUGAAAAUCGUUGAUGUAUUGUUUUCUUGUCUCCUUUCGAUUCAAAGAGAUGUUUUGAUGAAUUUAUUCAGUUUUAUUGGGAUAUAUGUUAGAACAUAUAUAGUUAUGCGGACCGUCCAAAUCUGAUUUUCUGUUAAAUUUGUCAUGCAAACUAACCUAUGGUUAACUGCUAAAUCAUCAAUUUUAUCAACAAAAAAAAAAAACUGCCAAAUCAUUUUAAAAAUGACCGGAUUGAAGGAUUCGAGUUCGGGUUUGCAUAUACACUAGCAUAGUUAUAAAUUUCAGUAAACGAAUAAACAAAAAAGAAGGCACGGGUCCAAAGAGUUACCGUGGAACAUAUUACAAAUUGCAUAUAAAGAAUUCCAACGAAUACGUAUAAUCACUAGUUAAUUUACUUAUAUUUAGUGUCCAUUAGGUUUAUAAAAAAGAAAUCCGACUAAUACAUACAUAUAUAUAUAUAUAUAUAAAAUUAGGUUUACGAUAAAGAUUUAAUUAAGACUCUUAUGCAGUUAUGCUUAUGCAUUAUAUUUCGGGUAUACAUUUUUUUAUAUACUUCUAUCUUUCAUUUAGAACAAAGAACAUAUUAUAUACUAGCAUUGUAAGACUCAAUCUAAUCUUAAAUCUCGUUUCUAAAAAAAAAAAAACUUAUCAUAAUUCUCUCAUUUUAACAUUUAACUGUUAAAAUCGAGAGGUUGGCCAACAAACAAAUUAAAACUGUAAAAAUCUGUGACGUACAUUACUAUAGCUUUCAAAAUAAAUCACCCACUUUACUGAUUCCAAUCAUUAUGAUAUUUGGCAUUUAAAUCUCUGGUCAUCUAAUAAUUCAAAUCCAUGAAUGAAAUAAGGUCAUGUCAGUCUUCCUUACAAUAUGGACAGCUCAUUUUCGGGUAAAUCGCUAGGGACCUCAGUACAAUGAAACAUACGUUCAUAAUUAAAAGCUUUUGUGUUGUAAUAUAAUAGACUAAUAGUGAACCACAUAUAUACUUUAUAUAAAAUAUCAUACCUGACGCCAAGAAAGAAUGAGUUGAACCUUGUUAUGCAUAGACAAUAGUUACAUUAUUUUCACGAAUACCAUGCACUGGUUUAUGAGUUGGGUUAAAUAUCAUAUCAAAACGUUUUGAUAAGAAUGUAAAAAUAAAUAUGUUCGGUGCUUGGCAAAAAAAAAAACUUACAUUAUACAUGAUCGUUUUUAAGAAUAUCUGACGCACAUAUUUUUCUUUCAAAUAAAAGUGUAAUUUUAAGCAAUUGUUUCAAAUCCUGUUUCUUAGUAUUUUGGCGGUGCAUUUGCUACUUUUUUUCUUCUCCUGUAACAAACAACGUUUAUUUCUCUUUCCUUUUGGUUUUGAGUACUAUAGUAAGACUUGAUUUUUUGUCUGUUGCCGGCAAUUGAAAUUAUAUAAUGUUGAAAAUGGUACAGCUACCACCACUUAGUCUAGAAAAACAUAUAUAAUCAUGAUUUAUUUUAUUUUCUUUUGUUUUAUAUGAAACAUUUGGUGAUUCCAUCUUUUAUUUUAUUUAUGAUUAAGAUUUUGGUGAUUCUACAUGGAAAAAGUGUAUUAAUUGAAUCCAAAACUCUGAUUAAACAAAAUUUAGAGCUGUGACAAAGAUUUAUCAAUUCUUUCAGAUAAGACGAAAAUCAGAUAAUAAUUUUGAACUAAGAGAUCGAUAAAAUUCCAUAGCCCUACAAGCUUCUAAAAAUAGAUAUUAGGACCACAGAAAAGUACAAUUUUCUGAUUCUGUUAGUAGUUAGAACCUUAAAUGAUAAAAAAAUCUAGGAGAGUAUUCACAAAUAAAGAUUAUAUUAAUUGUUUCCAGGUUUAAUGUUAAGUCUAUUAGGCAUGAAGAAGGAUAAUUUGGGUUUAAAUCCAAAACAGAAAAUAUUCAAAAACUGCUUUUAAAUCUAUGGAGAUUAGGACUUCGUAAUCUAUAAUUUGUAAACUUUUUUUGGUCAACCUAAAAUUUGUAAACGAAAAACUAAAAACCAAAAAAAAAAGAGAAUCAAAUUUAGUACUUUCAUUUUCAAGAAAAAGUGGAAAAUCACAUGGGAAAAAUUAUAGAUAUUCGAACGUAGCAAGUGAAAGGUCGAAUCCGUCAUAUCUUUUUCAUUAUGAUUGAAGAAGUAAUCAAACUUAAUGACGAUCUUAUAUAAAACACGAAAGGCCAAUGGGUAGGGGAUGCACCGUGCACGUGAAGUUCAUGAUGACAAGACAUCCCUUGCCUGUUGUGUUGGCUGUUGCACUCAAUACAACCUUUUUUUGGGUAUGACACUCAAUACAACCUUAAUUCGUGAUAAUAUGAUUUUGGUUUUUGGUUUAUUGGACUUUCUUUCUAUUUAUUGAAUUAAUUGGCUGCUCCAUCUGCACUCCACAAAAUGUGGGGACUUAUACCCUCUGGUUAUGUGUUUUUUCUUGCCAACUUGGCUUUAUGUAAAUCCAUCAACCUGAGACCAUUCCUAUUUUUACGUGUAAUAUAAAGUCAAACAAAAAUAGUAAAUGUUAGAUGGCAUGCUCUAAUAUCAUCUCUUUUUAUUUCCAACAAUCCUUAUAAAAUAACACUGACAAUUCAAUUUAGGAUAAGAUAUAACAUACAGGACUGCAAAAACACAUAAGAAAUCGGGCUGGCCACUAUAUAUUCUAUUAAUUCAGGGAGAUCGGAACUAAGAAUACAUAUGGGGUCUGAAGUUAUGAAACCUCUUUAUGUGUUUACCGGUUGAUAUAUCAGCCUAACCAUGUUUCCAUACUUAUUAUAUAAUAUGAGUCGAGGUUUUAUUUCAUCAGCGAUUCAUCAAUUCUUGAGAGGAGAAAGAAUUUGUUAUGAUAAAGCAAACUGGGAUAAACAGACAUGUGCCGGCGCCGAUCAACCGUAAUGAAUAUAGAGGAAAAUGGUGUUUUGUAUAUACUUACUCUGGUGCAAUUGUGGUAUGCUAUGCAGCCUAUGCUCCCCCAAAAAACCAAUACACAGUAUACAGCUCCAGUCUCUUUCCUGUUAAUUAAUGUUCUUUUUGUUUAACUUUUUUUUGUUUAAGUUUUAAAACCCACAUUUUAUGUUAUGUUUUAGGCAUGUCUUCACUGUGCGGAGUUUACCCUGAAAAUUCAGGAGAUGAACUGACCCUACUAAAAGAAGAUUUUCAUUGAUCACAUAUACAAAACAUACAAAUUCAGAUAUUAGUAUCCAUUUUGGGCAUUUUUGAAGUUGUAAAUUUGUAAUGGUGAAAAACAUGGAAUGAUGACAUUCUCUCUAGGAUGUGACUGCUGAAUCAAUGAAGUAACAUGAAGAAAAUAAUAUAAUAGAAAUGAAUAGUAUAAAAAAGAAAAAAAACGAAGCUAAAAACAAAAUUUAUUGAUCUUCUUUUUGAUUUGAUUGGUGGAAAAUUAUCUAGAGUAAUUGCACUCUUGGCUAAAAAGUGCUAUAUAAGCUAACUUUUUAGACUUAUAUUUAAAUGGAAUUUUUAAAAAUAUUUAUUAAAAAUUUAUUAAAGUCUUUAUUCUAAAAAGUCCAAAAAAUGUACCCGACAGAACACUUCAAAAGUUCAAAGUGAACCGGAUCGGUCUCAAAUCCUUUGUUUCGAUCGAACCUCUAAAAAAGUUGGCACCGUAAAACCGUUCUUACCAAUUGAAAAAUCAAAUGUUCCAAAAAUAACACAGCAAUCGUAGUGUGAGAGAGAGACUUGUUAGUGUAUUUUUGUGUUUGCUUAAAUGAGUUAUAGAAGAAAAAACAAAUAACAACAGAUUAUGGAUUUGAUUGGAACAGCUGUUCUGAUGUAAUAAGAAUUUAGUUUGCUCUUUAAUAAUACUAGACCACACCAAAGACCGAAAGAGUGAAAAAAGAAAAGAAAACAAAACAAAAAUAAAGAUCUCUGGUUGACAAAAAAAAAAAUCUCUCUUGGGCAUUUCAUCGAACACUUUGAAUGCAUGCUCCCACGCACAUAAGAAAAGCUAAACGGAAUCUUCACUGAUCUGACCAAGAUUCUCUUCUUCUUGUCUCUUCUUCAUUUCCUUUUCAUAUUGCUUUAACGCUUCCUCCAUCUUCAUCUGCGUAAAACCCAAGUGUCAAGCAAAAAAAGAUAUAAAAACCACCACAGUCUAGGAUCGAGGACAACAUUUCUUAGAGGAAGACAUAGAGAAAAAGAAGAAGAAGCUGACCUUGUAGCUAACUUCGAUGCGAUGCAUUACGUAGAAUCCGAGAGUUCCGCCGAGAAGUGUUCCAGCUAUGAUCCGUGCGUAACCCCAUGUCAGCGAGCUCAACGCCAUCUCCCCGCUUUCUUCUCUUCUUCCUUUGCCUAGACUCUACAAAGUUCCAAUUUUUCAACUCUCAAUCUCCCAGGCUUUAGAUCUCCUUCACAAUUUUCAUUUACCAUCAAAUAGGAACCGUACCAAUUGAUUCGAUUCGCUCCUUUUCGGUUCGAUAAUUUUCGCACCUAAACCCAGCUUAUAUCCGGUUCGGUUCAGAUAUGUAAUAAGAAUAAUAAAAUGGUGGAUAUAUCAAAAUGAAGAAAAGUGAAACAAUUUUGGAUGCAAUAGGAAAGCUGAAAGAUAUAAUUCUGAUUAUCUCAUUUUCAAUUACAUGUACGUUCGACGAAGUCGGUAUGAUACCGUAGGACCGAGAAUUUUGGUUCGGUUAUAAUUGUAGACAAAUUUAGUUAAUGGUUAAGCAAAAAUAUAAGCCCUUCAACCGUCCAGUUCAAAGAAAAAUUCGGAAACAAGUGCCAAGUGAUCGCUUCCCAAUUCCUGAAAAAAACAAAGACGAAGAAGGCUAAAGAAGCAUUAGGCACCAUUGUGUUUAGUAACGAAACCAAGUUCACCAAACAAAUUUUUAAACAUACUUGACAAGGGAGGCCUCUGGUUUUGCAGAGAACAUCGGUGGGAAUUGUAUCAAGAACUCUCGCAGGUACAAGACCAUCAGAGUACCUGAAACCAGACAUAUGUGUUUCCAAAUUGAAUCAUCAGCCAAGUAUUUAUAUUUCUCAAUUCGGUUUUAUUUUUAUUUACACAUGUUAUUACCAGAGGUAAUCAACCGUUCCCAGAAAUUUCGAGUGAUACGAGGUUGCUAGAGGUUCACCAACAGAGUCCCUAGUAUUUGUUGAGCCCUGUCGUGUACAAACCAUGAUCAUAUUCAGUUUUUUUAUGCAGAUUCGAAAUACAUAUAUAAGGACAGUUUAUUUCACUCUUUCUUUGUAAUGCAUAGGCUGUACAUCUGUGUAUGUUACCUUAACUGAGGCAUAUGAGCUACGGAGUUUCAAGGGAUGCACAGCCCAGUACGAGUUCUCUUGCCCGGUCGCGACACGGAUCUCUUCGUUGGUCCAAGAGCUACUUAAGCAUCUGAAGCCAAUGAGUAUCAAAACUGGUUUUAACUUCUAAUAUUUGUAGUUAUGAGACAAAAGCCUCAAACCACAAGUGAGCACAAUGGAUAUUUUCACCAGGCAGUCACUAAACAACCCUUAACGGCAGACCUGAUCUAAUCUUUCUUUACAAAAUAAUCUUACCUGCUUAUCGAAGUUAUUGUACUACUAGAUUUUCUUCCUGUCUCAAGAACUUGGUUUGAAUGACAAUUUCUCUGGCCAGACAACUCUCUUUUGUCAUGUUUCAUAAUAUUCAGCUGAAAGAUAGAAACAUAAUCCAACUAUAAGAAACCAUAUAUUAGCCGACAAAUGAGCAGUUUAACUGAAGCAAGACUCUGUAAAUUAAUGUUCGUACCUCAGCGGACGCCAAGAAGUUGUACAAUGGACUCUGCACGUGAUUAGAUAAUAUCAAUUAUAAUGAGAUAAACAAAUCACACAAUACCAAAGUGGAUGCGUUAUUUUUUAGUUCAAAUGUACCUGGGGUGUGCUAUUGAAAUCUCCGCCUAGAACAAUGGGAAUAUCACCCCACUUCUUAGAGAGCAAGUGAGCCUUUGAGCAGAGCGAACGGAUCUAUCAAAUCAAUAUUCAGAAUUAAGCCAUGGAAACAAUUAGGAACUCUGGCAAAAAACACAAAGCUAUGUAUUCACACGGACACUUACCUGACCCAGCUUCACAUCUCCUCUACUUGGAUUAUAAAGAACGUGAAUGUUACCCACCAGUAGCUUUCUUGACUUAGACUUCCGCAGCUGAUAGAAGAACACCAUAGAGCACUGGAUCAAUACCUAAGCAUAUAUACAUGAAUAUGUUAAAACAUUAUAAGAAAAGGAUUGGUACCUCGAGAACAGAAAGUUGUGCAACAUUAUCACGCAUCCCAAACCGGCUAAACUCAAUGUUUUCCCUCUCCAAAACACGAAACCUUGUCAAAAAGAACAUAAAUCUUCAACAAUAUAUACCGAGUUGAUCAUUCUGUCCGUUUUAUCUUCACGCUGAUACAGAUUGAGUCAAGCAAACUUUUGCUACCUGUCGGCCUUCCAAAACAUUGCGCACCCGUCAAUGUUAUCUCCAGUUCGCCGCUGCCAUUGCAAAGCUUAUAUUUGUAGUCCUUCUAUAUAAACAAAAACAAAAACUUUGCAGAUAGGCUUCAUCAGACGAAAAGGUAAAUGAAACCAACCAAACGAUGUUUUUACAUGUCAUUCCACUCAUUUUAUCAACCUAGCAAAUAUCAUUGAUCAUAUGGGACACAAGGAAGAAAAUAAACCUUGUAGGAGCCAGCAUAUCCAGCUUUCUCCAUCAUGCUGAAUAGAUCAAAAUACUUGUCUACUUCCUACAAAGAUCCGAACAACAACAUAACUCUCUUGACCAACGAAACUUAACUGGAGAGAAAGAAAGAAGGAAAGUUUAUAUUACCUGCAUACAGAUUAUGUCUGGUUUAAGACGAAUCAUCUCCUCACAUAUCAACCUUUUGCGGUAGCCCCAUUUGAGGUGAGGAAAAGAGACAUUGGAGUACAAAUCUCUGUGAUAUGAUGAAUUUCUAUCUCCCAAAAUGUUAUACGACACUACAGUGAAUCUCUCUGAAUCUAUAUAUCACAAAUAAACACUAUUCAAGACGUUUUAAGAUCUUUGAAUACAAUAGUUCAUGAGUGAAGAAAAAUCAAUUCUAUAUAAGAGAGAAACAUCAUACUACCUUCGGAAACUGGAGAAGUAUCUGAAUCGAUCCAUUCACGAACAAUCGUCCGAGAACUAGGCAUUUGAUCGGCAUGUCGACGACGAGGAGGGGGGUUUUUCCAUCGACGGCUAUAAGAUUGAUUUGAUGAUGAUUCGAGAUGCGAAUCGGACGGUCCAGAUGCUGUGGAGCAAGAGACGGCGAAGUUUACAUUAUCGCAAGAGGAACGGGGAGAUAGAGACGAUAAAGGAGAUCGAUGAAAUCCAGACGAAAGGUGACCACCGGAGGAGAUUCGGAAAGCUCCGCUUGGCCGUGACCAAUAAAAACCGACGCAACGCAUUUGAUUUUUGUGGAGAUUUUGAUACGAAAUUCAGAAUUUUUGAUGAAAUUGAAAACCACACACACACCGCUUGGCGCCCUUAUGGAUAAUAUCUUUUUUUCCAAGUUUCUUCUGAACCUAUACAAAAAUAAAUACCAUUUUGGACACUCCCUUGGCCCAUUAGCAGGCCCAUAGAAAUAUAAAUUGGUUGUGUCCAUUUACAGAUAUACUUUACUGAUUUGUGUGUAUUUUCUUAAAAAAAUUGGUCGACAAAGGAAACAAUCAAGAAAUUUUUGCUACGAUAUCAAUAAAGUAUUUAUCAUUGCAAUAUUCUUCAAAUAAUAUUUCGUAAAUUUUAUAAAUAAAAAAUUAAAAUUACGCAACAAAAUCAAUCAACCAAACACGUCAAAGACUACAAAAAACAUCACAUUUAACCAAACCUAAUCAGUUGACAUAAAAUUUUCGAGCAUUUGGCGAUACGGUGCGACAAAAUAAAACAAAUCGAUACUAUAUAUUUUUUAAUCAGCAUUUUUGUUAAUUAAAAAAAAAAUCGUAGCAUGCUUAGUAUAAUGGCACAGUCGCUCUAACUCACUGAAACAUCAAUAAUACUGUCUGUUUGUUUCUUUUUCGCAAUCUUGCCUUUGACAAAGAAAAAACUCUAUUAUUGCAUCUAUAUUAUAAUGUUCUUAAAGUUUUACUACUCCCUCCGUUUUACAAAGAGUGUCGUUCUGUUUAAAAAAAUAUCGUUUUAGAAUUCCAAUAUAAUUUUUAACAUAAAAUACCAUUUUUAACCUCAAUAAAUUCAGAAAAUUAAUUAUAAAUAUAAUUUUAAAAGUCAUUUUCUGCAAAUUAAUAAGAGUAUAAUAGACUUUUUAUCUUAUUUCUUAAUUUGUGUGAAAAAUGUCAGAACGACACUUUUUGUGAAACGGAGGGAGUAUAAAAUAAUAUCACAAGAAUCCUGGAAAAAAAAACAAUAGUUAAUGAAGUGUAUAUGUAAAUAAAACUUAAAAGUAAAGGAUAUAAACCGUUAUUAAUUGCAUAAUCUUAUUUAUGGAAAAAGUAAAAUGGGUGUAGAAAAAUUGGAUAUAAUAAGAUGAAAAACAAAAGAGAAGUAAAUGAAACGCAACAACCAAGGGCAAAAAGGGUGCGUUACCAUUAAUUCAGGGAAAGCGAAAUAAACCCAAAGCUCGUCUAACGAAGUAAGAGUAACUACUUACCAACUCCUCUCAUUAAUUACCCUUUUUUAACCUAAUCUCUCCAUCUCCAGUUUAUUGAAGUCUUAAGUAGAGAAUAGAAAACCAAGUGUCCGCUAUAGCUAUAAGCCUAGUUUCCAAACUUGUACAUACGUUUCUCUCAAUACCUCAAUAGUCUGCUAGGAGUUUCCAUUUUUUUUUGGGAUAAACAGUUGGGAAAUUUGCAAUAAAGAAAUUAGUAAUAAUUACAUGUAGUCACGCAUCUCAAGGAUGUUAUGUUAAUAAUAAUGGAUAAUCUUUUUUUUUUUGGUCGAACUAUAAUGGAUAAUACCACUCCCUAUCGACUACUACCUACUGUUCAGGUCCGUACACUAAUUAACCUGUACAGUAUUUAAUUGGGUAUAAGAUCAAUAUUCUACUAUGUUGGGAUCAUACGAUAAAAACUUUUAUUUAUAAUUUGAUAUACACAUAGAGAUACUUUAGUUAUAAACCUUAAAUUUUACUGUCGUAUAGUAGAAAAUACCAAAAUUUUAUACAAGUCAUAAUGUAACAAAUUUUCCAAAAUACUUAACAGUAUGAUAAAUUAUUGAUGUCGCUUUUAUAACCAGAGCAAUUCUGGCGUGACUCUCUCCCCAACCUUUUUUUUGGUCUAUAAAACAUUUUCUUCCUCUUUUUCUCUUCCACUAAACUCAUAUCACCUUCGCCGGAAAAAAUGGCUUUCCCGCGAUUUCUCUCUCUCCUUUCCGUCGUCACUCUCUCUAUUUGCCUUACCACGACUGAUGCUUCCUCUCGCUCUCUAUCCACCUCACACAAAACGACAGUGCUCGACGUCGUUUCUUCCCUCCAGCAAACACAACACAUCCUCUCAGUCGACCCAACUCGUUCCUCACUUACCGCCCGAAUACCCGAGUUCAAACCCGAAUCCGACCCGGUUUUCCUCAAUUCCUCUUCUCCACUCUCUCUAGAGCUUCACUCCCGAGACACUCUCGUCGCGUCACAGCACAAAGACUACAAGAGCCUAGUACUGAGCCGACUCGAACGCGACUCAUCCCGAGUCGCCGGAAUCGCCGCCAAAAUCCGAUUCGCCGUCGAGGGUAUCGACAGAUCCGAUCUCAAACCCGUUGACAUCGACGAGACCCGAUUCCAACCCGAGGAUCUAACGACACCUGUUGUCUCCGGGACGAGCCAAGGAAGCGGCGAGUAUUUCUCACGAAUCGGAGUCGGAACUCCGGCGAAGGAGAUGUACGUGGUGCUCGACACCGGAAGCGACGUGAACUGGAUCCAGUGCUUACCUUGCUCCGAGUGUUACCAACAAUCCGACCCGAUUUUCGACCCGACUUCUUCCUCCACUUUCAAAUCUCUCACUUGCUCUGAUCCAAAGUGCGCGUCUCUCGACGUCUCCGCUUGCCGCUCAAACAAAUGUCUCUACCAAGUUAGUUACGGAGACGGAUCUUUCACCGUCGGUAACUACGCCACCGAUACGGUGACGUUUGGUGAAUCAGGGAAAGUAAACGACGUCGCUUUGGGUUGUGGUCACGAUAACGAAGGUUUAUUCACCGGAGCAGCCGGUUUACUCGGUUUAGGAGGCGGAGCUUUGUCGAUGACGAAUCAAAUCAAAGCAAAGUCGUUUUCUUACUGCCUCGUUGACCGUGACUCGGCUAAAUCGUCGAGUCUUGAUUUCAACUCGGUCCAAAUCGGCGCCGGAGACGCGACGGCUCCGCUUCUCCGUAACAGCAAGAUGGACACUUUCUACUACGUCGGGCUUAGUGGAUUCAGCGUCGGUGGUCAACAGGUCUCGAUCCCGUCGUCUUUGUUCGAAGUUGACGCUUCCGGUGCCGGAGGAGUGAUCUUGGACUGUGGAACCGCCGUGACUCGUCUUCAGACUCAGGCUUAUAACUCGCUGCGCGACGCGUUCGUUAAACUCACCACCGAUUUCAAGAAAGGAACGUCGCCGAUCUCUCUAUUCGACACGUGUUACGAUUUCUCGUCUCUCUCCACCGUGAAAGUCCCGACGGUGACGUUUCAUUUCACCGGAGGAAAGUCGUUGAAUUUGCCGGCGAAGAAUUAUCUGAUCCCGAUCGAUGAUGCCGGAACGUUCUGCUUCGCGUUUGCUCCGACGUCGUCGUCGUUGUCGAUCAUCGGAAACGUGCAGCAGCAAGGGACACGUAUCACUUACGAUCUAGCGAAUAAUCUUAUCGGGUUGUCAGCGAAUAAAUGCUAAAAAGUGUGGAUUAUUAUUAUUAUAGUUUUACAGAUAUAUCAGUAAAACUUUUAGUUCUUGGUUCCUUUACAAUGGAAAAACAAAAUCUCAAGUGUGAAUCCCAUUUCUCUUUUAUCUCUUCUUUUUUUUUAGUUUAUUCAGAAGUUAUUUCGACUUUUUAUCGAUAAUAUAUAAUAAUAGUAUUGAUUAUUAUUAAUACAAAUUUGAAAAGUGUUGUUGUCUGAGCGAGAGAUUUUUAGUUGCCUCUGUGUGAAAAGAACAAGAGAAAAAAAGAAUCCCAAAAAAAGUAUUUAUGGUAAGUUAUAUAUUGUUUGUAUGUAUCUCUGUGUAUUUAGCUUGAUUGCCCUUUUAGUUUUUUUUAUGGUUUUGGCUGUAUAUAUCGUUCGAGAAUCGGUGAUACUCUGUUUUUUCUUCAUCUUCAAUAUGAAAGCAUCUUGCUGCGUUAAAAAAAAAGGAAUCUCUGUUUUUUCUUCAUCUUCAAUAUGAAGGCAUCUUGCAAUGGAACAAAAAAAAAAGUUAUCUAUCCAAGGGUGGGCCUUAUUGUAAGUAGAGAAAAGUCUUCGAAAAACUUUUGUUGUGGCCCCUAUCUUCUAAACUGUUGUCUGAAUCUUACUGUAUGAAAUCAAUCAGUGAAAGUAAAUUCUCUUUUGUUUGACUCAAAUGUGAGAAGUCAAGUCAGGGUAGGAGUACAAUUCGCCUUCUCCACACCACGAUUUACAUAUACAUGGAACUGUGAGUGAUUCGGAUUAUUUAAUCUAAUCGCUCGAUUGCUGAUUAAAAUAGUCUAAACACCAUACCACGUAAUCACGUAUCCAUAAAUUUAUAUUAUAAUUAAGGAAAUAGAAGACAUACAAUAAAGUUUUCAGCUAAAAGAGUUUCCACAAUAAUCACGGAAGAAACAAAAUAAAUGUGAUAACUAUGUCAUUAUGUGCGUAAGCUUUUACAUGCAGAAUGACACGUCUUGGUACGAUAGACGAGGGUGGACUUUAGGGUUUACUUAACGACUACCGAGCAGAUCAUGUGGAUAUACAGUGAAGGACGAGUUAGUUUAGCCCGUUUCUGUUUUUUCGUCACUAAAGUCGUCCUUACCUUUGAUUUCUUCUAAAUAUCCUUUUUUCUUUUUCCAUAAUAUAGGGUGCUUCACCAUUACAGACUGAGAAUGAGAUAAAUUUAUUAAGUUUUACAACUUCAAGAAAAUGCCACAUCACAUAUAUUAAAGUUAGCUGACGUAAAUAUGGAACAGGUGACGGCAUAACAUUCUGAUUCGAAAAUCAAAAUCCUGUUUAUGUUUGAGACCAAUCUUUGGGAAAAUUUUAGAAUUGUCGAUUGAUGUAUUUGCUUAUUUUAGAUCAAUCAAUUAUUUAAUAACUAUUCAAAUUACUAUUAUUAUUCAGUUAGACUCGACUAGACUAAAGAAAUUAGUUUUAAAAGCAAAACAGGAAAUUUAAUGAAGAUGAAGUUUUGUUCUCUUUUUUUUUAUUCAACUUAAGGAAACGAUUACAGAGGAGUUAUGUAUUUAUACACAAAGCUACAGGGCGCUCCACUCAACCCUAAUGCCAAGUGUCGCUUAACUAGAGGUCAAUCAAUGAUUAACAAAACACCAAAGCUGUUGCUCGUCGGGAUUGCUUCCUCCGUACCACUGCAGCUCAUCGUCGUCUUUCUCAUCUCUGCAGAGACUCUGGUUUUGUCGUGAAGCUGGAGAGAUGACCGUUGGGAGUUGUUGGGCUUAUUGGUGGGCUUAGUAUUGUUUGGGCCCAACUCCUUUGCCGGUUUUGAUUCGACGUCGCAUUGUGAUACUUCUGAGUGAGCUGGAGGUUUUGUUGUAUUGAUAGCCCCUCUCAAACUUGGUGUUGGUGGGUAGUCUACACCAAGUUUGUACCUCAAAGAACAGAACGCUUCACAGGGCAAGGACUUGGUAAAGACAUCAGCCAAUUGCUGCGGAGAAGGGAUGUGAUUAACGAUGAGAGACCCCAAAGCAACUCUUUCACGAACGUAAUGGUGGUCUAACUCAAAGUGCUUUGUUCUGCCAUGGAAAGUGGGAUUCGCAGUGAGUCGAACUGCAGAGAGAUUAUCACAGAAAAGUUCUGGAGUGGCAGGAAUGGAUACGCCUAUCUCUUUGAGAAGGGAACUAAGCCAAGUGACUUCAGACGCAGCCUCGGACAUUGUUCUGUACUCGGCUUCCGUUGAGCUCUUAGAGACUGUAGGUUGUUUCUUUGAGGACCACGAGAUGAUAUUAUUGCCUAAGAAGGUACAAAAACCACCAGUAGAGCGUCUGGUCUCCUUGCAGCCCGCCCAAUCACUAUCGCUGUACACACGCAUUACACAGUCUGUUCCCUUGUUGAAGUUAAUGCCCAUUGUUACUGUCCCUUUUAUGUAACGUAAGAUCCAUUUGAGAAGCAUGAAGUCAGAUAUAGUGGGGGAGUGCAUCUUUUGACACACAUAGUUGACUGCAAAUUGAAUAUCCGGUCUUGUCAGCGUUAGAUACUGAAGCUUGCCUGCUAAACUCCGGAAGUAUGUGGGAUUGGAGAAGAGUUCAUUUUGAUGAGGAACUCGAUCAAGCUGAAUCGGAAGUGGAGUUGGCAUAGGUGAACAAUCAGUCAUCCCUGCAAUAGCCAGUAAAUCCUCUGCAUAUUUUUGUUGAGAGAGGAAGAGCCCCUCUGAAUGAAAAGGUGCUUGAAUCCCAAGAAAAUAGUGCAGCUGCCCCAUAUCUUUCAUGCGAAAGUGCUUAUUCAACUCGGAUAGAAGGGACUGCAGAAUACAGGAGCCACUGCCUGUGAUGACCAUGUCAUCAACAUAAAGAAGGAGAAGAAUAAUGUCUUUUUGCUUCGAGUAGAUGAAGAGCGAGGGGUCCUUGUUGCUACAGACAAAUCCGAAGUCCAGAAGAAAUGAGCUGAAUUUAUCAAACCAUGCCCGAGGGGACUGUUUGAGACCGUAUAGGGACUUAUUCAGUCGACAAACAUAGUCAGGAUGUGCUUUGUCUUCAAAACCAGUUGGUUGAGUCAUGUAAACCGUUUCAGAGAGAUCCCCAUGUAAAAAGGCAUUCUUAACAUCCAUUUGUUUCACAUCCCAAUCCAUAAUGGUUGCAAGAUGUAGAACUGAUCGAACUGUAGCCGUUCUGACAACAGGACUAUACGUUUCCAAGAAGUCUACUCCCUAUUGCUGAUUAUAUCCUUUUGCAACCAACCUAGCUUUGAGUUUAUCUAAUGAUCCAUCCGCAUGAAGUUUGGUUCUAAAAACCCAUUUGCUACCUAGUAUGUUCAUGCCAGGAGCUCGGGGAACUAAACUCCAUGUGUUCGUUUCAGAGCAGUUGGACAUUUCCUCAGACAUUGCAUUGUGCCAUCCUGGAUGCUGCAACGCCGAGGCAACUGAACGAGGCUCUGGAUAUGCAGCCUAUUGUGUAAGUAAGGCGUAACGAGGAUUGGGUUUAAAAAUACCUUCCUUGGCCCUUGUAAUCAUCUUGUGACCGGGAAGGGAGGGAGUGGUUUGUCGUGCGGUUAGUUAUAACUCAAGGCGCUAGAGCUGUCAGUGGACAAAGGAGAUGAUGCAACAGAGAGUGAAGCUGGAGUUACCGGUGUAGAUGAACGGCGAGAUACUGAGGAAUCUGUCCCAGAAGGUGAAAGCAAGGAACUGUUGCCUAUAGGAACAGGAUCUGUGCCUGCCGUACACCCAGAAUUCCUGCUUUCACUUCUAGUAGACUGAUCAGCUCUGAUUGACUGAGAAGAAGGCCUGAGCACUGACACCGGACGUUGCAGAGGUGGAAAGUCAGAGUUUACAAAGAUUGAUGUUGAGUCUGUGGACUCUGCAGAGGGGAAGUAAGCUGACGAUGUUGAUCCGGUCGAAGGAAUCUGUUCUGAAGAACUUACAGUAGCUGGAAGAAAGCUUUUUUGCCAAGCCUGAAGAAGAGGUGUUGAUACUUCUGGGUGAGCAUCCGGGUAUAAGGUAGCAAAGGGAUACACAUGUUCAUCAAAGAUGACAUGGCGACUUAUUAAAACUCUUCCAGUGGUGGGAAGGUAGCACCGAUACCCCUUAUACUUGUCGUUGUAGCCAAGGAAGAUGCACCUCAAAGACCUUGGAUCAAACUUGUUCUUUGAGUAGUCUCGGAGUGUUGGAUAACAUGCACAAUCGAAGACUCUGAGAGAUGUGUAGUCAGGUUUUUUCCCAUAUAGUUUUUCAAAGGGACUUACAGACGAUUCAAGAGCAGAUGUAGGAAGAAGAUUGCUUAAGAAGUUUGCAGUGAAAAACGAUUCAACCCAAAACUUCAGAGGCAUCUUGCUUUCAAACAUCAUUGAUAAUCCCAACUCAGUAAGGUGAUGGUGUUUACGUUCAGCUAAUCCAUUUUGCUGGGGUGUAUAGGGGCAAGAAAUGUGUUGUUGUAUACCAGAAUAUUGUAGGUGAGUUAAGAAUUUCUUGCUUGUGAAUUCCCCACCACCGUCACACUGAAAUGUACCGAUCUUACAGUUAAACUGAUUUUCCACCAUUUGUUGAAAUACACAGAAUGUAGCAUAAAAGUCUGAUUUAUAUUUCAGUGGGUAAAACCAACAGAAUCUAGACCAAUGAUCUAUGAAAACUACAUAAAAUCUGAAUCCCUGACCCGAAACAACAGGUGCUGGACCCCAGAGGUCAGAGUGUACACGUUCAAGAGGCCUAGAUGCAGAAAAAGAAGACUGAUAAAAGGGUAAUCUACUGCUCUUUCCAAGCUGACAUGACUCGCACAUCCGAUUGGUACUGGUGCUUAUUUUGAUGGCUUGAUUAGAAGAAAGAAGAUGCAGAACUUGCUUAUUUGGGUGGCCAAGUCUCCUAUGCCAAUACUGACGCAAUGUUGCCUAGAGGAGAAGUAAGCUUGAGCCGGUUGGUUCUUCAAACGAUAGAGUCCAUUAGUGCUGCUUCCCGAUAGGAGCACUCUCUUUGUGGUCUUGUCCUUAACAGUUACCCCAUGACAAUCAAAUUCAAACGAACAGGGAUAAUCCGCAGUAAUCUUAGAUACAGAUAAGAGAGGCUUUGCUAUAUUCGGACAAACCAGAACAUCAACUAGAGGGAGCGUACCUGAAGUCGAAGCUAAUGUAGUUGAUCCGGUGUGAGUGAUGGGGAGGAACUCUCCAUUUCCUACCAUUACUAAGUCGGAGCCGACAUAGGACUGAGACUGCUGCAGGUGAUGUGGAGAACUCGUGACAUGAGCUGAAGCACCAGUAUCAGGGUACCAUUCAAGGCCAGAAGACUCUGUGACAUCUGUUAUUCGCAUUGCAGCCAUAGCUGAGGGACCGUCUUCAUACUGAUAAGCAUUAUCGAAUCGGUGCCAGCAUUUCAACGCAGGAUGGCCCAACUUUCCACAGAUCUGACAAGACACUUUGAUCGUACCAUCAGAGGAGGAGUUUGAGCUGGAGAUCUGCUGAGGAAAUCCUCUUCCUCGUGUUGAGAAUGAGCCCCUUCCUCUGUUGGAGUUGAACCGACCACCAGAGUUAUUUCUGUUGUUGUUGUUGUUGAAGGAAAGCGCUCCUGUCUUCUGAGUGGAAAAGGCAAGAUGAGGAACAACAGUGAAGCUGGAGGCGUAAGACUGAAGCUUGUCUUCAAAGUUUGAAACUUUUACCACAAUAUCUUCAAAGCUUGGAUAAGGGUAGGUAUCCAUAGCGUUUUCAAUGACUGCAGUAAUAGCCUGAUAUUCUUGGCCCAACCCAUGGAUGAAACCAUAGAUCUUUUCAUUAUCAUCAACAGCACAACCGAUGGAAUCUAGCUGAUCACAGAUAGUUUUGACUUCAUUAAUGUAAUCAGGCAUAGAUUUACCAUCUUUAGAGACGGUUUGAAGUCUGCGUUGAAGGUCAAAUCUACGGGAGGCUGAGAUGUGAUUGUAUUUCCUUGCUAAGGCCAGCCAAACCUCAGUGGCGGUGUGAAGACCGUAGACCGAGCGCAGAGCCUCUUCAGACAUAGAACCAAAGAGCCAAGCAAGGACUGUCUGGUCGUUUUGAAGCCAAACCAACAGUUCAGGAUUAGGUGCUUCUGUGAUGUUGUCUCCAAUCCGAAGAACGAGUGAGGCCGGAGGACGGGGAGAACCACCAUUAACAUGACCAACAAGUUUCUGGCUAGAUAGCCAGUGUUCGAACUGAGUCUUCCACAGGAGAUAGUUGGAGGCGUUCAAACGAAGAGUCACACAAUGAGAGAGAUUU